AACAUCUAAGUGACCUAGGUGACCUAAGUGGAAAGUGUCAAGGUGAAUUAGGUGAAAAUUAAAUUAAGAAUGUAUCUAAGUGAUUGAAGAGAAUGUGUUGAGUGAGAUAGGAGUGUACCUACUGGGCCAAGUGUAUCCAAAUGGGCCUAUGGUGCCAAGAAUGCCAAAAACCAACUGGUCGAGCUAGUUGAGAAAAUUUCUCAAAUUUUGACAAAAUAUCCCUUGAAGAAUAAGGAAUCCAAAAAAAAAAAAAAAAAAUGGUGCGCAAUUCCGAGCUCGGAUGAAGGAGAAAUGAAUAAAACAAGCUAGAGUGUUCCCGACUUAGAUGGGCUUCAGCGAGCUUCAACCGAACUGAAGUCUUUAUGAAGACCUUAACCUCUAACCUGUAGUAUGAUACAAACCAAGGAAUUGACCAUGACGACAUUUCAUAAUGAACUAAACGCUCACACUAAAUUGAACCAUAGGUGAACUCACGUGAUGUCCGAAAACCGAUUAAGCCCAACAAGGGCCCCAUGGUCAUGACAUACAAAGGUCAAGUACGGGCGACACCCCCAAGAUACAUGCAAGUGUCAAGGAACAAAAUUGAGGGUCUACAGGGAUAUUGCAAGGUUUGUGGCUCAAUGUUUGGUAUGCCAACAGGUGAAAGCUGAGCAUCAACGACCAGCAGGAUCAUUACAACCACUUUCUAUUCCUGAAUGGAAAUGGGAACAUAUUACCAUGGACUUUGAGACAAGGUUGCCAAGAACCUUAAGGGGUAAUAAUGCUAUUGGGGUAAUUGUGGAUUGAGUGACAAAGUCUGCUCAUUUUCUACCUAUGAAAGUCAAUUUUUCUAUGAACCGUUUGGCUUCUCUUUAUAUUAAGGAGAUUGUGAGAAUGCAUGGUGUACUUGUUUCUAUAGUAUCUGACAGAGAUCCUCGUUUCACUUUUAGAUUUUGGUAUAGUUUAUAGAAAACAUUAGGUACUAAGUUGAGUUUUAGUACUGCUUUUCAUCCGUAGACUGAUGGUAAAUCAAAGAGGGUAAUUUAGGUCUUGGAAGAUUUGUUGAGAGCUUGUGCUUUGGACCUAAAAGGUAAUUAGGAUGAUUAUUUGCCCCUAGUGGAGUUUGCCUAUAAUAAUAGUUUUCAAGCUAGCAUUGGGAUGACACCUUUUGAGGUGUUAUAUGGUAGGAGAUGUCGAUCUCCUGUUUGUUGGGAUGAUGUUGGAGAGAAGAAACUUUUGGGGCUUAAACUUGUGCAGUUGACUGUUGAAAAUAUCCCUUUAAUUAAAGAAAGAUUGAAAGUAGCACAAAGUAGACAGAAGAGUUAUGCUGAUAAUCAUAUACAAGAUUUGGAGUUUGAGGUGGGUGAUCAUGUUUUCUUGAAAUUUUUACCUAUGAAGUAUAUAAUGAGAUUUGGAAGAAAAUGGAAACUCAGUCAUUGUUUUGUGGGACCAUUUGAGGUAUUAGAAAGAGUAGGCACUUUGGCUUAUAAAGUGGUCUUGCCUCCAAGUCUAUCUAAGAUUCAUAAUGUAUUCCAUGUUUCGACUUUGAGGAAAUAUAUUUAUGAUCCCUCUCAUGUUGUGGAGUUGGAGCCUAUUCAAUUUUUUGAGGACUUGACCUAUGAAGAGGUGCCCGUUCAAAUUGUGGAUGUGAUGGAUAAGGUACUACGACAUGAUGUUGUCAAGUUGGUAAAGGUCCAGUGGAACAAUCAUAGUAUCCGAGAGACCACUUGGGAAUUAGAAGAAGAGAUGAGAGAAAAACAUCCUCAAUUAUUUCAAGACUCAGGUAUGUCAAGUUUAGACGACUAAACUUUUGUUAAGAAGGGGAGGAUGUAAAGCCCAAAUUUUUUUUAGGGAUAAGUUAGGAAAAUAAUAAUAAUAAUUAAAUUAGUUAAUUAAUUAAUUUAAUAAAAUGAAAAAGGGGUAAAAAUGUAAUUUUUUGGAUAAAUACCCUUGGUAUAAAUUAGAAAUUAUUGUUCUUCCUGUUCUUUUCUGAAUAACGUUCUUGUUCACAGAAUUCCAGAGAACGUAAGGUUGGAGUCGGAAUUCAAGGUUUGAAGUAUAGAUCUCUAUAGGUAAGAUUUUUUUUUUCUUCUAAUUCUUCAAUUUUAUUUUCUUAGAUCCGUCACUUUUUGUGAAAACUUUAGGUAAUUUUUGAAGAAACCCCAAUAUCUAGAUUAGGGUUUUUUUUUUAAAUAAAAAAAAAUAAAGUGGAAGAAGUCUUUGAGGGAGGACUUGAGGCGUGAUUGGGUAUAUUAAAGAAAUAAAAAAUAAAAAAUGAAGAAAAUCUGAAAAUGGUGUCGUUUGGUGUGUGUGAUUUGGAAAGUCAAAUGACAUUUAGAAUUGGUGUGUGUACUUUGAAAAGUUAAGUGGCAUGUAGAAUCUGGGAUGGAAAAAAAAAAAGAAUAUAUAUAUAUGUUGAUAUUAUUAAAAGAAGAAGUAGGUCUAGGAAACCUACAUAAUGAUGGGUUUGGAUUAAAUAAAUAAAUUAUUGUAUAAAGUGAUGAGAGAAAUUAUUUCAAAUAAAUAUUUCUAAGAAAUUCUAUUUAGUUUAGGAAUUAGAAACAAAUUAUUGAGAAUAAAUUUUUGAAACAAAAAAUUAAUUAAUAAAUAAUAAAAUAAACAAAGGGAAACUAAUUAAUUAAAUUAUUGGUUAAGAAGUUGGAAAAUAAUUUUGUGAUAAUAGUAUCUUUUUGUUAUGUUAGGUGAGAGUUAGAUUAUUGGGGCUAAACUCUUCAAGGUUUCUAAGUGCUUUUAAGGUAAGAGAAAUUAAUGCAGUUUUUUUUUUUUUAGAAAUAAAUUUUUAUAUACAUCAUUUGGAAACGUUUUGAGUUAUUAUUCGUUUUAUGCAUGGAUCAAAUAUGUUUUGCAUGAAAAGUAUGUUAGAACCUUAUAUUUUGUUUACAAUAGAGAAAUGUGGAGAUAUUAUGUUUUGCAAAUUUGAAUAAUUGAAAUAAGUGUUUGACUUUGGUUUGUUUGGCCCUUGUCAACGGGAUAUAAUAGUUGACCUUUACAUUUUUUGAUGGGGAAUGUAAUUGAUUUGGACCCCAACCUCUAGGGGUUUGGUUAAAGGUUACUAAUACUAGUAGUGUUUGGUUCCGUCCACCUUAAAGGAAUAAUUUGAGGCUAGCCACCUAUUUGAAAAGUCCCACCUAACUGGGUACCAUUUGAUGUUUGAUGACCAGAGUAAAUAAAUGAUUUGAAUGAAUUUGAUAUGAAAAUGUUUGAAUCAGAAAUGAAAGUGUAUAGUUAAAAGUUUUGAAUGUAUUGACAAAACUGAUUGAAAGGUUUAUGAAAAUAAUUAGUUAUAAUAUCUCCUAUUUUGCAAGUGAACUUGAAAUAUUUGAUCUAUGGACUGCUGUAGACCCUCAAUUUUGUCCCUUGACAGUUGCAUUUUAUCCUAUGGGUGUCACAUGCACCCAUGUUUUCAUAUGACCUCGCCAUGACCCCCUUUUGGCCUUGAUCAGUUUCUAAGCCUUAUGUAGGUUCAUUUGUGGUCCAAUGUAGUGCGGGUGUGUAGUUCAUUUUGGAGUUCCGUCAUGGCCAAUUUCCCUAGUUGUUCACAUCAUGCUAUAGGGAAGGAAGUGAGGCCCCCCAAAAAUUUCAGUUCAGUAUGAAUUCAUAAGAGCAUGUUCGAAUUCGGAGCACUUAGGCUUAUUUUGAUCAUAUCUCCCUCAUUUGAACUCGGAAUCGUGCACCUUUUUUUUUAUGGACUCCUUAUUCUUCAAGGAACAUUUUGUCAAAAUUUCAAAAUUUUUCUCAACCGCCUCAAUCGGUUGGAAUCUGGUUCAACUGGUUCAUCGAGUCAGCUUGUAUGGAGCACUAAUUUUGGUGAUUUUGGAGCCCAAUUCCUACAUAGCUUGGGCCCAUGGGCUCUAGAUCAGUUUUGGGCUGUAUUUUGGAUCCAUUUUGGGCCUUAUUUCGGAUUCCUUGCAGCCCACCAUGAAUCCAUAUGGAUCUUUGGUGGGAAAGCAUGUUGAAAGCUUAAGAUAGUCAACUUGCAUGGAGAAUGAGGAGAGGAGUUAAUGGGGAAGUUGAUUCCGAGACUAACUGGAGCUCUUUCCAGAGCUUGAAGGAGAGAAAAAUGAAGAGGCUUUGAUGGCUGGAAGUCUGGGACUAUAAAAGAGGAAAAAAAAAUUAGAUUUGAAGGGACUUCUUCUUUUUCUAAAAGGGGAGACUCUGUGGAAUCGUGGAGGAGGAAUUUUAUAAGAGGUUUUUGGAGGGUUUCUUUUCGUGAGUGGUCUGAGGGAGUGAAGUGAAGAGGUCCUCAGACUUUUGGGGGUCUCGGAUACGUUUGGAGAAGCUUUGCAAGCUGAGGGAGCAGAUCCUCUGUUUUUAGAAGAAAAGUAGAGUAAGGAAACGCUGCUCGUGUAUAGAUUGAGGCUGCCUCUCUAGGCCCCGCUUGAAAGUGGGAAUCUUCUGACAUUUGAAAGGCUUUGCACGUGAAGGAAAGAAGGAGAAGGAGGUCUGAGUUUGGAUCUUUACCAGGUAAGAUUCAUGAGGAAAUUUCAGGAAUUUCAUCUAUUUGAUUCAAUUGUCUUUUUUUAUGCUCAGCCAAUCUUUGGAUAUCAUCUUCUGAUUUAAGUAGAUUAUUCCAGCUACGUGGAUUAUUUUAGACUUGCUGUGUAUGCACUCAUGCUCCCAUUCAUGGAUUUCAAUAUUCUUUGUGUUUAGUUGAUGCAUGGGUGUCGGUUUCUUUAGAAUCUGAUGCAUGCUAUGUAAGGGUUGGGCUCACUGCCACUCUUAACUAUUGUCAUCCCUCAAAGUAUUGCAUGAAAUAAGGAUAGGGAUGAAGGCAGUUUGGUUACUUUUUUUGGCACACUCGUUCUGUUGUGUUUUCUUAUCUUUCCUCUGUCUGGGAAUGCAUGAGAAUUUGGUAUGACAGUUGUGGUUUCCUUUAGAUUAUCUCUCUAUUCAUAUGUUGGUGAAUAUGUCUCUCCCAUUGGUUGAUUGAUGCUUGAUGUUAUUGGGUAAGGAGAGGAAGCCCGAACUGUGAGACCCUUUUGUUUUUUAUUAUUCAAAUGUUUUAUGGGUUCAAUACAUUUUGGAUUUAGGUGGGAUUUAAGCCCACCCCUGAGUGUUGUUUUGGUAAGAUAUCUCAAUUGAAAUGUGAGAGGGUCUUGAUAUCAUUGGUUUGCUUGUUGGGAAAAUAGGCCACCAUGGCCACUUAGUGUGCUAAGGGUAGUGACCUUUGGGCCGUUCAGAUCUCAGUUCCAGAUUUGCCCACUUGGGGCCUAGUCUUUACUUGAGCAUGAAUGAGUGGUUAAAGCCUAGAUUGUGCAUUUGAGGAAAUAUUGAAUAAAAUUCUGAUUGCAUGUUUGUUUUGAAUUUGGGAAAUGGGAAGGGUAUUGAUAAUUGAUUUGGGGAACUCAAGCCAUUCCUGUCACAUUUCAGUUGAUUAAAAUCAAAAGACAAAGUAAAGCUUAGGCUUGGCUUGCUUGAAGUCAAAGUUCUCCUUAGCUUAGGAUUUGGGUGGAGGACUUUCACCCUCCUUGUUUUGUCAAUGGAUGAGGUCUCCAUGGCAUUCUUUGUGUUGGGUUUAGGGGCUGCCCAUCUUGGACGCCCGAUUUAGACUUGAAGUCAGGGGCACUUGGUUGUGUAUGGGAGGGUGCCCUCAGUCAUCAUUGCCUCCUAGGGUCAUUAGUUUAGUUUGAGAGGGUGGCCUUCAUUUUAGUAUGAUAGGGUGGCUCUGUGGCAGCCUCGGUUUUGAAGCGCUUUGCAUUGUCUUGGCCGGUUCUCCCUCAUCCAGGCUCAGAAUUGAGCGCCGUUUUUUUGUUAGAUUUCUUAUUCUUCAAGGAAUCUUCUGGUAAAGUUUCAGAUUUUUUUCUCAAUCCAACUGGUUCAUCCGGUGGCUUGGUGGCAGCCCCGUUUUAUAAACGUUUUGCAUUGUUUCAGCCGGUUCUCCCUCAUCCGAGCUCGAAAUUGAGCGCCGUUUUUUUUUUUUUUUGUUGGAUUCCUUAUUCUCUGAGGAAUCUUCUAAUAAAGUUUCAGAUUUUUUUCUCAAUCGGAUGAACCAAUUGGGAACCGGUUCAACAGGUGGCUUGGUGGCAGCCCCGUUUUAUAAACGCUUUGCAUUGUUUUGGCCGAUUCUCCCUCAUCUGGGCUCCGAAUUGAGCGUCGUUUGUUUUGUUGGAUUCCUUAUUCUCUGAGGAAUCUUUUGGUAAAGUUUUAGAUUUCUUUUCUCAACCAGUUGGGCUGGUUGGGAACCGAUUCAACCGGUUCUGCUAAGUAGCUCCAGUGUCAGCGUGUUUUGCCCCCCAUUUUUGUUGUGGCUUGGGCCCUUAGGCUCCAAGGCACUUGUAGGCCACCUUUAGGGUCUGAAUCCAGAUUUGGUUUGACUUAAUGUGGGCCCACCUAUGAGUUGAGGGUAUUAUUGGCUAGAAAGGUUGGGGGCUUAUUAUGAAUGUUUGGCUUGGGCAUAUUUUUAUGUUUGAUUAAAAGUGCUUAUGUCUAUUGAUUUGCCCCUGUUUGCAGCGCUUGGCUAGGGACCCAAGGUACGUACUUGACUUGUUGGGAAUUGGAUUCAUUUGCAUGCGUGUGGUUUGGAUAUGUUUGCUCGUUGUGUGUUUAUAUUGCUUGACUAACCUCUUAUGUAACGCUUGGCUAGGAACCUUAGGUACGCACCUUUUAGCUUUGAUUUGUGGAGACUAAGUGCACGCUAGAUACUGAGCAGGUUCGUGUGAUUUAUGUCAUUUGUUUAGCCUGAUUGAUCGAUUGAUCUUUGACCCAGAUGCUCCCAUGUACCCAAUUCAUUAGUAGAGACCGAGUUCCAGGCCUAGAGGGGUGCUACCUCGCAUGAGGUACCUUCCCAAUAGGUAACCUGAUCCCCGGACCCAGAAUCUAGUUUUCGUAGAUUGCUUUUUCCAUACUGGAGUCAUUAAGGGUUUUUGUUCUUACUUGAUUUUCCCCUUUAUAAAAUAAAAAUAAAAAGUAAGUGGUGACUCCAAACAAAACCGUUCCUCACCGGGGAAACCGAAAAACACACUUACUUUCUUAUUCUUUUAAAAAGCGAGUCAUGUUGGCCCAUGGAUCGGGUGAGGGUCCACAAAUUGGCAACUCCACUAGGGAUCGAACCCAGAAUCUCUAGUUUCAUAAGAGGAUCAAGCUUGAACUUGAAUUGGGUAUAUUGGAGCACAUGGUUCUCUGAUCAGUAGACUCUUAGGCUACAUAGAUGACUAAUGAUCACGUACUUGAUUGGUAUUUGGCUUGCACCUGUGAUGUGUUGAUGCUUGUGUGUCCAUUUGAUUGGUUUUAGCAUGCUUGCUCAUUGUUGAUUGGUACUUGGUUAUGAGAUUUGGGAUUAGCAUAGAUGGUUAGAUUGUGUGUAGAUUUUGUGGUAGGUCUUGCCCUUUGCGCAUGAUUGUUUGCUGCAUGGCUACCAUUUCUCUUGCAUGACUAUUUGCCGCUUAUGUUUGUGAGGCGCCCUUGUAUCCCCUUAUUUUCGAAUUACUAGUCUUGGUCGACUAUUCCUCAUUGAUUGCUUGAGUUGUUUGGGAGUCAUUCCCAACUGUUUGCUUUCAACCAAGCUAGGGGUUUGGGAGUAGGGUCUAGCAUAGGGACUAUAUCGAUGUUUGGGAGCAUUAUGGAGAUGAUGGAUAUCCAAGCAAUGAAGACCUAUAUAGCCCUGUGGAUUUCAUUGGAAACAUUUUGUGGCUUCAAAAAUCAUUCUCAGGACUCGAAUCCAUCAUUCCAGAUCUACUCGCUAAGUAUGGACCGAUCAUCACCCUCCAAAUUGGCUCUCACCCGACCAUAUUCAUCUCCAUCAAAUCUCUUAUCCACCAAGCCCUAGUCUAGAAUAGCGCAGGCUUCGCCGACCGCUUUCCCGCACGGCUCACUCAUAGUGUUAUCAGUUGCAACCAACAGAACAUUAACCCCGAGUUCUAUGACCCAAACUGGCGCCUCUUCCGCUGCAACCUCAUCUAUGAAAUCCUUAGUCCCUUGCACAUCAAAUUGUAUUCUCGCGCACACAAGUGGGUCUUGGACAUUCUCCUCUCUUGCCUUCAAAACCAUUCCAAACCGAACCAUGUGUUUGAUCACUUCGGAUAUGCCAUGUUUUGCUUACUGGUUCUUAUGUGCUUUGGUGACCAGUUGGGAGAUAAGCAUAUUCAAGAGAUUGAAGUGAUUAAGCGGAAAGCUUUGUUCAACUAUGCUCUCUUCAAUUCACUUAGUUUCUAGGAUAGAUUGGGGAAAAUUUUGUUCAAAAAAAAAAAAAAACGUUGGGAGGAGUUGCUACAGUUCGCAAGGACUAGGAGGUCCUACUGAUUCCCCACAUCAGAGCUAGACGACAACUAAGGCAAGAAAUGCAAGUAAAACAAGGGUAAUCAGAGGACUAUGUCUUGUCAUAUGCUAACACUUUGCUAGACUUGCAACUGCUGGAAGAGAAGUGGAAGCUUACUUAUGGAGAGAUAGUUAGUUUGUGCUUAGAGUUUCUCAAUGCUGCAACUCAUUCGAUAAACACUACAUUGCAAUGGAUUAUGGCGAAUCUGACGAAAUACCUGCAUAUUCAAGCCAAGGUAUAUGAAGAGAUUAGUGGGGUCGUGAAGGAUGGAGCAGAAAUGGUAAUGGAGCAAGAUUUGUAGAAGAUGCCAUAUUGGAAGGUUGUGAUUUCGGAAGGUCUGAGGCAUCGUCUUCCAAGACACUUUGUGCUGCCUCAUUCAAUAACCCAAGAUACAGUCUUAGACGGUUACCUCAUACCAAAAAAUGCUACUAUAAAUUUCAGGGUUAUGGACAUCAAUCUAAACCCAAAAAUAUGGGAAGAUCCAAAAGAGUUCAAGCUCGAAAGGUUCUUGAAAAGUUUGGAGGGGAAGAGAGGGAUAUGGACGCUGCUAGAAAUCACGACGGUAAUGAGAGCUCUCAAUUCUAUGACUCCAAAAUGUUCUGAUUAGAGGGAUCUUCAGAUAUGAAUCGCAAAUAACACAUCAUCGACCUCAUCACGCAUGGGAUAGAGUUCAUUAGAAUGAUUUGAUUUCCAAGUCUCCAUACUAUCAUCAAUAAGCAUACUACCACCAAGCAUGGAUUCGUCUACAGUGGCCUGAAGCUACAUUGAUAAAUUGAUGAAUCUCAAAGGAGAGUCGAGAUCUGGUCUAAAUCUGGUUGCCAUAAAGAAAGGAAACUGUCAGAGCUCUUGGUUUUAGUUUAGAUUAUAGGAUUUUUGCUAGCGGUAAAGGUUGAAACAAUGAGUGUGGGAUUGGAGUUUGGGAUCAGAUUACAUGGAAACAGAUUGAUUUCUUCGACAAACCUAUUGGUUGGUCUCUUGGUGAUGCUGACAAGCUUCAAUGGCUGCAAAGAACCAACUGUUUGAUGGUGGCAACUCGGUUUCCCAACGGACAGAAUUGAGAAUGGGAAAGGAAAGGUAGUAGUGGCACACGAUUGCAUGUGAAGAAAAUUCUCUGACAUAUACAGAAGGACGUCACUCAUAUAUAAAGGAUUUUAUGCCAUUCGAUGGAAGAACAACCACCUUUCUCCAGGUUACACAGCCACAAACAGUCCACCUAGAACACCACGCAUCCAGUUUUCAUCCACACAUAUGCCACUUUGAGAAAGCCACAAUCCACGCCAUUGCUCGGAAACGUAAGUUGGAAUUCCGUUCUACUUAAAUCUUGAUUUAUUACAUAAAAAAAAAUUGUUGAUUGCAAUUGGGUUUGGGUUUUGAUUCGUUAUGUCAGAUUGAUAGGGUUUGAAUUAUUUAGUUCCAGUUUCGAAUUCAUCAGAUUAGAUUAGAGAGGUUUGAGUUUAAUCAAGUUAUGAUUUUUAUCCAUUAUAUUGAUUAGAAAAGUUUGGAACUUCUUGUUUUUGAUUUGGCUUUGGUUCAUUAUGCUAGCUAGGAAAGCUUGAAUUUUAUUUAAUUUCAUUUAGAUUUUUCACAUUAGUUUGAAAAAUUAAAAUUUUGUUUUGAUUUUUUAUGAUAGUUUGGAAAGUUAUGACCUUUGUUUUAAUUUAAUGUUGAUUCAUUAUUUUAGUUUGAAAGUUAUGAUUUUGUUUAAUUUAGUUACGAUUUAUUAUUUUUAGUUUGACAAGUUAGAAUUUUUAAGUAUUUGUUUGGAUAAUUCUUGAUGAUAAUGGAAAAGUUAGAAUUUUUAAGUGUUUGGAUAAUUCUUGGCGAUAAUGGAAAAGUUAGAAUAUUUAAUAAGUGUUUGGAUAAUUUUUUAUGAUAGUGGAAAAGUUAGUAUUCUUAAAUAUUUUUUUUAAAAAAAAUAAUUCUUGAUGAUAGUUAAAAAUUUAGAAUUUUGAUUAGUAUUAGUUUUGCUUUGUUCUUAGUUGGAAAAUUCAUAAUUUCAGUUAGUUUAGUUUCAAUUCAUCUUUUAGUUUAGAUGUUAUUAAAAUUCUAGUUUAUUAGUUCAAUUGAUUCCGUGCUACUAUUUCCAUAUCCUAAGUUUGUUAAUUUUAAUUCAUGAUUCAUCAUUUUUUUAGUUUAUAAGUUUUAGAAUUUAAGUUGGCUAAUUUAUUUCACUUUGUGUUGAUAUAUUCAUGUUUAAAAAAGAAAAAAAACUUGUUGAUCACUCUAGUUUUGAUUGAUCUUGUUUUAGUUGAUAGUUUUUUUUUUAGAAUUUUAAUUAGUUUGUUUGGUCUCAUACUAUUUGGUUCAUGUUUUAAGAUUGUUAAUUUCAAUUUUUUAUUAAUUCUAUGCUUUAGAAUUGUAGCCAAUUAGUUUAAUCUAUCCCCAUGUUAUCAUUUCGUCUUUAAAAAUAGUUAAUUUUAGUUUUUGAUUGAUUUUAUUUAGUUUAUGUGUUUGUUUUCUUUUAUUUUAUUGAUUAGUUUAGUCGAUUGUAUCUUGUUAGAUUUAUGACUUAAAAUCGUCAAUAUUAGUUGAUAUGUGUUGUUAGUUUUGUUUUAAAAGUCAAAUAAUAUUUGCGAUUGAUUUAUUUUAUCUUAAGUUUAAAUGUUUUUAAAGUUCCAGUGCUUGUAAGAUCUAAAAGGUUUUGGUUUAUCACUUUGGUCAUCCUUUUUCAAAUUCAAUUUCUAGAGGCCAUCAGAAAAUAAUGAAGAUUGACCUCCAUUCUCACCACUUAAGUUUGCUUGGUUGUCAAAAAUUCUACUUUGUGAUUUUGUUUAUUUUAUUUUGCUUGUUUCUUAUCUUUGUUGUUUGGAAAUUAAUUUCUUUUAUUUAAAAAAAAAUACUUUUCUCAAAAGAUCCCUUUGAUAAUCUGUUUUAAAAAUUCAUUUAGAGUCAUUGGAAUCAAAAUCUCAUUUUCUUAAAUAAUGUGCAACCAUGUUUAGAUAGGUUUACAUCUUUCUCAGUUUUCAAUCAAAGCUAUGGUUUUGAGUAAGACACGACUCCAAGCUUGUGGUCCCAAAUAAAUUGGAUAAUUCUAGCCUAGAUUAGUGUAUAUCAAUUGGGGAAUUGGUGGAACCCAUACAUAAGAAAAUUUUUCAAAACUCAUCUUUGCUGUCACCUUUGCUAUUUGAUGAAAUCAUGUCUAUUUAUUUUUUAGCAAUUAUAUACAAGAUGUAUGUGAUAAUUGAUGAUUUCGUAUACUUUGAUCAUUUUUGCUAUGCUAAUUAGAUAAUAAGCAUGCUAGGAUUUCUUUAUUUUAUUAUUUAUUAUCUAACCCCUCAUGUAUUGUGGAAACAUGUUACAAGUUAUCUAUGCUAUCCAGGUACGCCCCCUAUCACCCAUCUUCUAAAUUUUGUGAAUAUGCUUGUCACUGUGAACCGUGCCUAUGUUUAAUAGUGCUUGGGUGUCUUGAUACAUUGUUUUAUUGUUCGAUUAUUUAUGAUAAAACGCAUGCUGGAUGAUAUACUAUUUGAACUAACUUUGAUGUCUUGUGAUAACGCUUAAGAAGCAGUCCAAGUACGCACCCUAAAUCUUCUUUAUGAUUAUGAUUGGUUUUCAUGUUUGGCAUGCUUUUUGAAAUCACCUAGCCUACUUACGUAUCUAUAAACAACCAAAUUAAUUACCACAUUUCCCUCAACUUAGUCGGUAGAGCCCUUUGUAGGGCUUGGAGGGGUGCUACCUUUUAGAGGUACCUUCCCAAUAGGUAACCUGAUCUCCGGACCUAGACUUGGGUUUUUCAAAGACAAGAUUUUCCAAAAACUAUGGAGUCACUUUUUUUUGGGUUUUCUUUCUUGUUUCAUUUUCCCUUUAAAAUAAAAAUAAAAUAAGUGGCGACUCCGACGUUUUCCAAAACUAUUUUUUCACCAAUAAAAGCGAGUCUCGCCGAUUGAGUGGGGGUGCAUGUGAAAAAUGCGAGUCCACAAAUUGGCGAGUCCACUAGGGAUCUUGAGGAUCAAGCUUGAACACUAGUUGAGGAAAAUAUUGCGUUUAAUUGGUUGAUUAGAGGGUAUCCCCUCUUUUUAGGCAAGAUGAUCCGAUUUGCUUGCUUGUUUUGUUUGCUAUCUUAGCAUGUUUGAUUAUCUUGAAUGAUCACUUGACUGCUCGCUCACUUCAACAUGAUUCACUCUCACAUAUGAUAGAUAGAACUUUGUUUAUAUGAUAUCUAUUUGCCUGGUAUGAUUGCUUGUUGCAUGACAACCAUUCCACUUGCCUGAUGUAUGAUUGUUUGUUUAUGUUUACCUUCUCACUUUAGAUCUUAGGUUUUUCGGAUUCACCCACAUCCUUCACUAUGCCCUUUAGAUAAUCCUUGAGUGUUGAGAUAUGAGAGAGCCUUCACCAUUAAGAAACCCCCUAGGGACACGAGGAAAUGCAUGUGUGGAGUGAUGACCACCUUGUAUGGAAGUACCCCGUCUCCUUGGAGGCAUGUAGAGGGUUGCGUACCACCGGAGGGUACGAUCGCUUCUACUAAGGAUCCUUUAACCCACCCAUUUUAUCUUAUAGAGCCACCUUAACCUUAUAGAUUGGCCUAGAUCCAAUUAAGAUUUCACUUCUACACAUGGGUGCAUUUGUGGACCUUCAGAGUUGCCUUAGUCACAAUUGGGUUCAGUUAUCCUUUUCAUGGUCUCUUUUGGUGUGCUAAGAGAUUGGUACAUAUUUGAGUUUUAGUUAGGCCACCUUUCUGCAUUGUGAUUAGUGCGUUUCCACUUCUUUUAAGUUUCUUUCAUGUCAUAUCUCUUUUCAUACCUUUGUACCUUAUAGGAGUGUUAUUCAUUUUGGUUCAAAGCAGUCAAGUAUGGAUCCUCAACAUGAUAUAAUAGAUCAACUUACAGUCACCAUGACUCCAUUCAGGAGGCAUUAACAGGUUUGAGCUAGAGGAUUGAUGGACAGUGAGAUAGAUAACCUCUAGUUCAGGAUGGGAUGUCGUGUGAUUCAUUAUUGCCCAUCCCCACCACCCAAUUAGCCAGUGACAUUGUUGAGGGUGACAUCGUACAUAUGAUGAGUUUAGUGGAUUAUUGGUCAAAGUUUAUCAGAUGAGAGUUCUUAUAGAGGAUGUUAGUUUUUUCUAUAAGAUGGGUGAUUUGAUUGACAUGGUUUUCUUCAUGACGAGCUUGAGAUGGAUGUAUUGGAUGACAGUUGGAUGGUUAGCACAGAUUAGCAAGAGAUAGUUCAAUCUCUUGAUAUGUUUAAGAUCUUCAUCAUUGAGAGUUUAUAAGAUAUUCGGUUUAUUUAUGUUGGGGCAUCCUGCUUAUGUUGAUGACGUGUUUGAGGACGAUGCUUAGCCCAGUUAUGGUCAUGAAGAUUCAUCUAUUCCAGGAGGCCCUAAGGACUUACUUGGAACACCAUAUGUCCUUAUAGAGUUGACCCCAAAGAGGAAAUAUGAUUGUCAUAUUUGGAUAAAGACCAGUUCUUAGACCCUACCAAUGUGGAUCAGCUAAAGAAGUAUUACAUUUGAGACUGUGGUCGCAGAAUGGGUGACAAUCAUUUUGGUUAGCCUUACACUUUAUCACCUUUAUCUAUAUAUUAGAUCAUUUCUAGCCCAUUGAGCCUCACGUGGUACAUUAAAGCCUUUUUUUCUUUCUUAUAACCUUGAUCACCAUUUCUACACUUAGGUUGGGGCCCUUUGAUGUAUAACCGUGCUUUGCUAGGAAAGUCUCAUGAGCUUUAGACUUAUAGGCCUAUCUUCUCAUUCUUGUUACCAUAUCCUUAUUAUCCCGUUUGUUCUAUUUUACUAUCAUCACAUUUUCAUUCUCUUUCUUACUUUUAUCAUUAUUUGCUUCAUCUUAUCUCUUCUCUUCUUUGGGUUGACAAUUCUUCACAUCUUGGUGUAAAAAGGGCAAUCAUAUCACUCCAUUCAUCCCAUCAUUUGGCAUUGAUUCGAAUAUUUUAGUUUGAAAGGUUGUCUCGUGGGUUGGGGUUCAUGUAUUCAUUAGUGACUUGAGAGAGUUUAUUUAUUCCUUAUAUCUUUCCCAUUGGAGUUCGAUUUAUUGAUGAUUAGAGUAUGUGCAUAAAAAAAAAUGUAAUGAUAUGUUCGUAUAUGGUAUCUUGCUCCAUUAGGCACUUAUGUCACCUUUUAAGGUCUAUUUAUUGGAUAUAUUUGUCAUUGUGGAUUCUUAUGAGAUUUUUAUAUGAGUUUUCACUCCUUGAGUCACUCUUGUUAUGCACUUAGAGUGUCGAGGGUUCAUGUGAGAGUUCAACGAGAUCCUAUGCUUCUUGGAUCAUGGUUGAUAUGUAUUAGGUAUGAGAGAUGAGUAACCUUUUUACUAGGGUCUUCGGAUCAUUGUCCUAUCCUCCAUUCCAUCAUUGGUGAUAUGACUUUCCUUUAUUGUACUAAUAUGGGUUGAUCAUCAUUCAUUCCACUUUCUUAUUGGCUUUUUUUUUGUGUCCCAUCACCUUUUUCCAGAUCUUCGUUCCAUCUUUUAUCCAUUUCCUACAUAUUGAUACACAUUUCUUAUUUGAUACCUUCUUCACAUCAUUCACAUGUUUCAUUGAUGGUUUGACCACUUAUCCUUUUUCUUGUUCCGCCAUAGACAUUUCCUUUGGUUACCUUUAGGUCCAUGGCUCAUGAGAUUUUUCUAUGCAUUACAUCUUGUACACGAGGGUAUGGGUUUGAUCAUUGGGUAUUUGAGCCUAGUUUCCCUUCAUUUCUUUCAUCCUAUCACCCUGGCCUACAUUACGUCCCGUGUCUUAAGACCACCCUAAGGCCAUGAGAUCAUAUGCUAUCUUUGACAGCCUCUACUUAGGCUGGUGUUUGGGAUUUGGUUUACAUAUAGACGUCAUCCCGUUUCUUCUUCUGGGAGAUGCUUCUUUGAUGCUUGGAGGUGAUUUAGCGAUGGAUGUAGACGAUUGCUUCAUCUUAUGGAUGAUAUUUGACGUUGUCUGGAUUUCCAUUCUACUGUGUAUCAGCUAUCAUACUGGGGCAUAUUCCCCUUUCAUUUGGUUGAGAUGAGCUCCUACUUCAAGCCUGGGCAUUUUCACCAAUCAGAGAUCCCUAGUGGAGUAUGUUGAGAUGAUAUCAGUUUUAGUGGAGCAUUGUGGGGCUCAUUGACGGUUUUCAUGAUUCUAGGUUCCAUUUAUGGAGUAUUUUUGAGAUGGACUAGUGGAUUAUUGUUGAGCUGGAGAUAGUUGAUUGAUGAUGUUAGAUAGAUCUUUUUAUUGUGCAUUGGUUACACACACUAGGGCACAUUUCCACAUUUCUCCAGGGUUCCUAGUUGUUGUUAGACGGUAUGGCUAUCAUUAUUCAUGGUUAUAGAGAUGUUUGAUUGGUUUUGAUAGAUUCUUUAUUAUACAUCGAAUAUCCAUACUAGAGCAUAUUUUCCUCUCCUUGUUAAGAUUUUGUUUGCACAGUGGUAUGAGGAUGGAUGAUUGGUGUUAGUUAUCUACCUCAUGACUUUGACAUCAGAUUUUAUACUGGGGCAUACUUCCUCAUUUUCUUUUAGUAUCCUUGAGAUUAGGAUAGCGGCCAGCUUGGUUUUAGAUUGAGUAUUAGUAUGGGGCUUCCGACGAUUGGCUGUAUCAAGGCCUCCCUACAUGGAUGUGUUGAGAUAGAGAUGGAUCGCAUCAAGUUUCCCCUAAGGUGCAUAGGUGGAUCUUUUAGCAUGAUGUUCAUGAGAUAGAUUGCUUUCAUUAUUGUUACCUUACAGAUUGGGUUAUCUAGAUGAGCAGUAUUUUUGUACACUUCGAGAUUUGCUUUUAGAUGAGUUAUGAUAUACACACUCCGAGAUUUACCUUUAGAGGUUUGUCGCCAGAGCAACUUGUGAGACAUAGAGAGUUCUUUAAGUUCAGAUUUUUCAGAGGUCUGUCAUGAUGCAUCUGUUUUUGACCCAUUGAUUUCAGCAAAUGAUUGGUUUAUUGGUUAUUUCAGCAGUACAAGCACUCUAGAUAUUGGGCCAUAUUUCCUUUUCUAAGUUCAGUAGUCCAACCUUUGGCACUUUAAGCAUACGACUUUGAGCCCAUUUGCUUCCUAUCCACUUUCGAGUUGGUCGUCUUUAUCUAUGCCUUCUAGACCCUACAUCGUGUAGCCCUGAGCUAUCCAUUCCUUCUAAACCUUGAGUCUUAUAGCCUUGAUCUAUCCAUUCCUUCUAUACCCUGAGCCAUGUAGCCCUGAGCUCACGACCUAGAGUCGUUUUUCUCAUUUACGACCUAGAGUUGUUUUUUCUCAUUUAUGACCCAAAGUCAUUUUUUUUCCAUUUAGAGCCCAGAGCUCACGACCCAGAGUCAUUUUUCUCAUUUAUGAUCCAGAGUCAUUUCUUUUCCAUUUAGAGCCUAGAGCUCACAACCUAGAGUCGUUUUUUCUCAUUUAUGACCUAGAGUCAUUUCUUUUUCAUUUAGAGCCCAGAGCUCAUGACCUAGAGUCGUUUUUUCUCAUUUAUGACCUAGAGUCAUUUCUUUUCCAUUUAGAGCCUAGAGCUCAUGACCUAGAGUCGUUUUUCUCAUUUAUGACCCAGAUUCAUUUCUUUUCCAUUUAGGGCCCAAAGCUCAUGACCUAGAGUCGUUUUUCUCAUUUAUGGCCCAAAGUCAUUUCAUUUCCAUUUAGAGCCUAGAGCUCACGACCCGGAGUCAUUUUUCUCAUUUAUAACCCAGAGUCAUUUUAUAUUUUUUUUCCAUUUAGAGCCUAAAGUCGUUUUUCUCAUUUAUGACCCAAAGUCAUUUUGUUUUUCCAUUUAGAGCCUAGAGUCAUUUUUCUCAUUUAUGACCUAGAGUCAUUUCUUUUCCAUUUAGAGCCUAGAGCUCACGACCCAGAGUCGUUUUUCUCAUUUAUGACCUAUAGUCAUUUUUUUUCCAUUUAGAGCCCAGAGUCAUUUCUUUUCCAGUUAAAGCCUUGAGCUCACAACCUAGAGUCAUUUUUUAUCAUUUAUGACCCAGAGUCAUUUCUUUUCCAUUUAGAGCCUAGAGCUCAUGACCUAGAGUCGUUUUUCUCAUUUAUGACCCAAAGUCAUUUCUUUUCCAUUUAGAGCUUAGAUUCGUUUUUCUCAUUUAUGACCUAGAGCUCACGACCUAGAGUCGUUUUUUCUCAUUUAUGACACAGAUUCAUUUCUUUUCCAUUUAGAGCCUAGAGCUUACGACCCAUAGUCGUUUUUCUCAUUUAUGACCUAGAGUCAUAUUUUUUCCAUUCAAAGCCUAGAGUCGUUUUUCUCAUUUAUGACCCAGAGUAAUUUCUUUUCCAUUUAGAGCCUAGAGCUCAUGACCUAGAGUCGUUUUUUCUCAUUUAUGACCCAGAGUUAUUUCUUUUCCAUUUAGAGCCCAGAGCUCACGACCUAUAGUUGUUUUUUCUCAUUUAUGACCUAGAGUCAUUUCUUUUCCAUUUAGAGCCCAGAGCUCACAACCUAGAGUCAUUUUUCUCAUUUAUGACCUAGAGUCAUUUCUUUUCCAUUUAGAGCCCAGAGCUCACGACCUAGAGUCGUUUUUCAUUUAUGACCUAGAGUUAUUUCUUUUCCAUUUAGAGACCAGAGCUCACAACCUAGAGUCGUUUUUCUCAUUUAUGACCCAGAGUCAUUUCUUUUCCAUUUAGAGCCUAAAGCUCAUGACCCAAAGUCUUUUUUCUGAUUUAUGACCCAAAGUCAUUUCUUUUCCAUUUAGAGCCCAGAGCUCACGACCCAUAGUCGUUUUUUCUCAUUUAUGACCCAGAGUCAUUUUUUUUCCAUUUAGAGUCCAGAGCUCACAACCUAGAGUCGUUUCUCUCAUUUAUGAACCAAAUUAAUUUCUUUUCCAUUUAGAGCCCAAAGUUCAUGAUCCAGAGUCGUUUUUUUCAUUUGACUUAGAGUCAUUUCUUUUCCAUUUAGAGCCCAGAGGUCAUGACCUAGAGUUGUUUUUCUCAUUUAUGACCCGAAGUCAUUUCUUUUUCAUUUAGAGCCUAGAGCUCACGACCCAAAGUCGUUUUUCUCAUUUAUUACCUAGAGUCAUUCAUUUUCAUUUAGAGCCCUGAGCUCACAACCUAGAGUCAUUUUUCACAUUUAUGGCCCAGAGUCAUUCUUUCCACAUAGAGCCUUAAGCGCGCGACAUAGAGUUGUUCCAUUUUUGUGACUGCGACCCUUUGUUCCGAGCUUACUCUCGUCAUGUGCUAGGACAAAAUCUUUAGUUAUUUUCUUUUAGUUCUUUGGUAUAGUUCAUUUUGCUCCACUCAUUAUUCGUAUUUUUACUCACAUUCCCUCCACUCGUGAUCUCUACCGAAAAGGGGCAUAUUUGUAGACCCUUCAUUUUGUCAUCCUAGCACAUGUCCUAUUAGGUAUUUGUCUGGUACUUUACGACACUUCCUUGGUGGCCCAUUACUACUCAUGUAGCCUUUCUUUUCUAAGCCACCUUGGGGAUUUUGGUUAAAGGAUUUAUCUAACCCCAUUGUGACUCUUAGCAGCCCUAAUUUAACCUUAGGCCCACUUGGCCCAUUAGGCACCACUGAUUACUACUCAAAAAGUGCUAUUUGAUAGCUUAUAAUUAAUCCUUUUAAACACUUUUGAGUAGUAGUUUUGGCCUUUUAACUCAAUUGGCAUGUUAAGGACCCUUGAAAGCAAUUUUAAUCACUUUGUGUAAGUUUUGGUGUUUUUGUUAGUAAUUUGAUCACCAAAGCAAUUCAAGUUUGAGGAGAGUUUUGAGGAAUCUUGGGUAAAGCUUAGAAGUCAUUUGCCAAGAGUAAAUCCGGAUGGCAAGGAGAAAAAGUAAAGAGAAUCUGCCAUGAAGCAUAUUCUUGAUGACAGUCGUAGCAGCCACUUUUGGAGUACUUUCUGAAGUCCAAUUGAUGCAUGCUAUAUACCAUUUCAAAGCUCAGGAAGUCAACAAUCCAAUGCUUUAAACGGUGCGUAAUUUGGAGUUGAAACAAAGAAGUUGAAGCCAUUGCAAGCCAAUCACUCCAAGCUGAAGGAAGCAUUUUCCAAAGUGUUGCGAAAUCACCCUUUUGUUGCGAAGUGAUUCCGCAGCCUUUUUGUACAGUAGGGUGUAUUUCCUUCUGAAGUUGCCCGAUAUAUGCCGCGAGAGGGAAGCUGGGAACCUCAAGGUGGAAGCCAUCUUCGCAGCCCUGCGAAGAUAGCAUGUUGUUGCGAAAUGAUUUCGCAGCCCUUCUUGAGUGUCUACGAAAUCUCGCAGACACCAUUUUCUCUUGCGAAAUGGUUCCUGGAGCAUCCCGAUAUUUGCUACUGACAUUGGGAGAUAUUUUACAUCAGAUUUUUGUUGUCUAAAUCCCAAAAUACUCCUUGUAAGCCACCAAUUAUAAGAUUCCUUAGCUUUUAAGUUAGUAAAAAGAGAAAAUAUCUAUGUAAUAAUUAGUUUUAUAUUAUGUUCAUAUAAAUACCUCUCGGGAGCCUGUUCUCAGGGGCGAUCCUUUUGUAAAGUUUUGGGUAAGCAAGUAAAGUUCAGUUCUUUGUAUUGCCUUACCUUCUCACUUUGUAUAUUUUAUUUUCUUACUAAGUUAUGAACUCUCUGAGGAGUUUUCCCUAGAGAAUGAGUAACUAAACCUCUAAUUCCUUGGAGCUAAGGUUGCCGGGGAAGGUUCCAAGUGCAAGAAUGCAAAGCUUUGUGGUUUUAGCUAGUAAUGAAGAGGAAGUGAAAUCCUUUAGUGAUUUCUAUGCUUUUAGUUAACUUAAAACACCUUAGAGUCAUCUGGGCCAACACUUGGUAAGGCAAGUGAUUUCCAACCAUGGAAAUGCACUAGUUUACCCCUUGCGAGCCUCUGGGAGGUGACUUUAAGGUAGGAUUUUCUAGAAUAGCCAACACUUGGUAAGCUUUUGGACUCCAAGGAGACAUCCAUUAGUUAUCUCUUGCGAGCUUUUGAAGGGAAGUCCAAGGUUAAAGAUCAUCUUGAAUGGUAAGUGCUCGUGAGAGGCAUGAACCAUUGCAAGUUGCAUCAGUGAGAGAAUUAAAGCUGAAAUCCAAUUAAAGGAUGUAUCUGUACAACACCGGUUAGAGACUUGACUAUAUGUUGAAUCUCUAACGCGAGGAAAGGAACCAUCUGACCGGAGCUAUGUCUUUUGCAUGAGGAACCACCCCAGUGAACCUAACUCUCCAAGGAAUGCUUUUCUUCCUAAGUUAUUCCGAGUACUUGUUAUGUUAGUUAGUUUAAAUCUUUACCAAUCAAAGUUUGUGUUUUAUUUCUUAAGCUAACCUUGAAAUGAAACAAGACCAAUUCACUUGGAAUUGGUAUCAUUGAUAGCUUGCUAAUCCUUCCCAGUGAACGAUCCUAGAGCCGCUAUACUAUAGUAGCUUUUUCUUUGCUACCCUAGUAUAUGGUGUUAUAGGUUAUAAAUUUUAUUGAUUACUCCCUCAAUCAAGGAGCACCAGCUGGACACGAAUCAGCUGAGACACCAAUUGGGCACGAAUCAAAUGGCGCCGUUGCCGGGGAAGGUGUCAAGUUUCUAGAGAUACCAUUUUUGAGCACUUGUGAUUUUCAUCACAAGUUUGGUAACGUUUCUUUCAUUUUACUAAUUCUCAUUCUUUCUUUACUAAUUCAUAAUCCAAGUUUAUCUUUUAAAUUCAGCUUAGUUUAAUUUUGUUGUUGUUGUAGCCCUGUUUUCUUUUGUUGUCCUUUAUUUUCAUUUUAGUUGCAGAUAGAUACUAGUUGUGUAUGCCAAAGUGGAUACGAGACAGUGGAGGAAGGCUUGUUAAGUGUGAUAUUCCUCAGAGAAAAGAAUUCGAAUUAAGCUUGAAUAUCAUGGAAACUACACCUGAAGAUCAGCAUAGUCACCAAGGUCGUCAAGACAAUCUCAAUGAAUUCAGAUCAAUGAGGGACCGCAUGCAUCCACCUCGUAUGAGUGCACCAUCAUGUAUAGUGCCCCCUACAGAGCAGCUAGUGAUCAGACCGUAUCUUGUUCCACUUCUACCAACUUUCCAUGGGAUGGAAAGUGAGAAUCCGUAUGCACACAUCAAGGAAUUUGAAGAUGUUUGUAAUACAUUCCAAGAGGGAGGAGCUUCAAUUGAUUUGAUGAGGCUUAAGUUAUUUCCUUUUACUUUAAAGGAUAAGGCCAAAUUUUGGCUUAAUUCUUUAAGGCCAAGGAGUAUCCGUACUUGGACUGACUUACAAGCUGAAUUCCUCAAGAAAUUUUUUCCCACUCAUAGAACAAAUGGCUUGAAAAGGCAAAUUUCAAACUUCUCAGCUAAAGAAAAUGAAAAAUUCUAUGAGUGUUGGGAAAGAUACAUGGAAGCUAUAAAUGCUUGCCCUCACCAUGGCUUUGAUACUUGGCUAUUGGUGAGCUAUUUUUAUGAUGGUAUGUCCUCCUCAAUGAAGCAACUCCUCGAGACAAUGUGUGGAGGAGAUUUCAUGAGCAAAAAUCUAGAGGAAGCUAUGGAUUUCUUAAGCUAUGUAGCUGAUGUUUCAAGGGGAUGGGAUGAACCAACCAAAGGAGAAGUGGGUAAGAUGAAGUCUCAACUGAAUGCUUUCAAUGCAAAGGCUGGGAUGUAUACCUUGAAAGAAGAUGAUGAUAUGAAAGCAAAGAUGGCAGCUAUGACAAGAAGAUUGGAGGAGCUGGAGCUGAAAAGAAUUCAUGAAGUGCAAGCUGUUGCUGAAGCACCAGUGCAAGUGAAGCUGUGUCCUAAUUGUCAAUCAUAUGAACAUUUGGUGGAGGAAUGCCCUACAAUUUCAGCUGAAAGGGAGAUGUUUAGAGAUCAAGCAAAUGUUGUUGGACAAUUCAGGCCCAAUAACAAUGCGCCUUAUGGAAAUACCUACAACUCAAGUUGGAGGAAUCAUCCAAAUUUCUCAUGGAAGGCCAGAGCAACUCAAUACCAACAGCCGGAUCCACCAUCUCAACAAUCUUCAAGUCUUGAACAAGCAAUGGCUAAUCUCAGCAAGGUAGUGGGAGAUUUUGUUGGAAAGCAAGAAGCCACCAAUGCUCAAAUCUAUCAAAGAAUUGAUAGAGUAGAGAGUAUGUUGAAUAAAAGGAUGGAUGGAAUGCAAAAUGAUAUGAACCAAAAGUUUGAUAACAUCCAAUAUUCAAUUUCAAGGGUCACAAAUUUGAACACACUGUAAGAAAAGGGAAGAUUUCCUUCUCAACCCCACCAAAACCCUAAAGGUGUCCAUGAAGUGGAAAGCCAAGAGGGAGAAUCAUCACAGAUGAAAGAUGUCAAAGCCUUGAUUACUCUAAGGAGUGGUAAAAAAAUUGAGCAGCCAACACCCAAGCCACAUGUUGAGAAAGAAGAAGAGAUAAAGAAAGGGAAGGAAAUGGAAGAUAAAGAGAGUGAGAUCAGUGAAGAAAAGAAGGACUCUGAUUCAAUAAUGAAUGCAAUUCCAGAGAAGGAACUUAUGAAGGAAGAAAUGCUGAAGAAAUCAACUUCUCCACCUUUUCCUCAAGCAUUACAUGGGAAAAAGGGGAUUAGAAAUGCAGCUGAAAUCCUUGAAGUAUUGAGACAAGUGAAAGUCAAUAUUCCACUGCUGGAUAUGAUUAAACAAGUUCCAACGUAUGCAAAAUUCCUAAAGGAUUUAUGUACUAUCAAAAGAGGGUUGACUGUAAACAAGAAAGCCUUCUUGACUAAGCAAGUAAGUGCAAUCUUACAAUGUAAGUCUCCUUUGAAGUACAAAGACCCGAGAAGUCCUACCAUUUCAGUCAUGAUUGGAGGAAAGGUAGUGGAGAAAGCCUUGUUAGAUUUGGGAGCAAGUGUGAAUUUGCUUUCUUAUUCCGUCUACAAGCAAUUGGGACUUGGAGAGUUGAAGCCAACAGCAAUCACUUUAUCUCUAGCAGAUAGAUCAGUGAAAAUUCCAAGGGGGGUAAUUGAGGAUGUAUUGGUUCAAGUGGAUAAUUUCUACUAUCCAGUAGAUUUUAUUGUUCUUGAUACAAAUCCUACUGUAAAGGAAGGUAAUUUAGUUCCUAUCAUCCUUGGAAGGCCAUUUCUUGCUACCUCAAAUGCAAUCAUCAACUGCAGGAAUGGGCUGAUGCAACUCACUUUUGGCAACAUGAUACUGGAUCUCAAUAUUUUCUAUAUGUCUAAAAAGCAAAUCACUCCGGAAGAAGAAGAGGGUCCAGAAGAGCUGUGCAUUAUUGACACUUUGGUGGAGGAGCAUUGUAAUCAAAAUAUGCAAGACAAGUUGAAUGAAAGUCUUGUGAAUUUUGAGGAAGGUUUGUCUGAAUCUCCUACUAUGCUUGCUACUCUACAAAGUUGGAGAAGGAUAGAAGAGAUUCUACCUUUGUUCAAUAAAGAAGAAGAGGCAGUUGCUGAAACAGAAAUUCCAAAACUCAAUCUGAAGCCUCUACCUGUGGAGCUGAAAUAUACAUAUCUUGAAGAAAAUAAUCAAUGUCCUGUUGUGAUAUCUUCAUCUCUGACCAGUCAUCAAGAGAAUUGUUUAAUGGAAGUUCUCAAGAGGUGUAAGAAGACAAUAGGAUGGCAAAUAUCCGACUUGAAAGACAUUAGUCCUUUAGUUUGUACUCAUCAUAUAUAUAUGGAGGAGGAGGCAAAGCCAAUUCGUCAACUUCAAAGAAGAUUGAAUCCUCAUUUACAAGAGGUGGUGCGAGCUGAGGUGCUGAAGCUACUUCAAGCAGGAAUCAUUUACCCUAUAUCUGAUAGCCCUUGGGUGAGUCCUACUCAAGUGGUACCAAAGAAGUCAGGGAUCACAGUGGUUCAGAAUGAAAAAGGAGAAGAAGUUACUACACGCCUCACUUCAGGUUGGAGGGUGUGUAUUGAUUAUAGAAAGUUGAAUGCUGUAACCAGGAAGGAUCAUUUUCCAUUGCCAUUUAUUGACCAAGUGCUGGAGAGAGUCUCUGGACAUCCUUUCUAUUGUUUUUUGGAUGGGUAUUCAGGGUAUUUUCAGAUUGAAAUUGAUGUGGCAGAUCAAGAAAAGACCACUUUUACAUGUCCAUUUGGAACAUAUGCUUACAGGAGAAUGCCUUUUGGUUUAUGCAAUGCACCUGCUACAUUUCAAAGAUGUAUGUUGAGUAUUUUCAGUGAUAUGGUGGAGCGAAUUAUGGAGGUUUUCAUGGAUGACAUCACCGUAUAUGGAGGUACAUUUGAGGAAUGCUUAGUUAAUUUGGAAGCAGUUCUUCAUAGAUGCAUUGAAAAAGACCUGGUGCUCAAUUGGGAGAAAUGCCAUUUUAUGGUACGUCAAGGAAUUGUCCUUGGCCAUAUCAUCUCUGAAAAAGGCAUUGAAGUUGAUAAAGCAAAGGUGGAGCUUAUUGUCAAAUUGCCAUCCCCAACAACUGUAAAAGGAGUAAGGCAGUUCCUUGGCCAUGCAGGGUUCUAUAGGAGGUUUAUAAAAGGGUUUUCAAGUCUUUCAAAACCUCUUUGUGAGCUGUUAGCUAAGGAUGCUAAAUUUAUAUGGGAUGAAAGGUGUCAAAACAGCUUUGAUCAGCUGAAAAAGUUUUUAACAACAACUCCAAUAGUGAGAGCCCCUAACUGGCAAUUACCUUUUGAACUGAUGUGUGAUGCCAGUGACUUUGCUAUAGGAGCUGUGCUUGGCCAAAGGGAAGAUGGGAAGCCCUAUGUGAUUUACUAUGCAAGCAAAACACUGAAUGAAGCUCAAAGGAACUACACAACUACAGAGAAAGAAUUGUUAGUUGUGGUAUUUGCUUUGGACAAAUUUCGUGCUUAUUUAGUGGGGUCUUUCAUCAUUGUCUUCACUGACCAUUCAGCCUUGAAGUAUUUAUUGACAAAGCAAGAUGCAAAAGCAAGGUUGAUUAGAUGGAUUCUUUUGUUACAGAAUUUGAUCUUCAAAUCAAAGAUAAGAAAGGAGUGGAGAAUGUGGUAGCUAACCACCUUUCAAGGUUAGUUAUAGCACAUAAUUCCCAUCCCUUGCCUAUUAAUGAUGAUUUUCCUGAAGAAUCACUCAUGUUCCUAGUGAAAACUCCUGGUAUGCUCAUAUUGCUAAUUAUUUAGUAACUGGUGAAAUUNNNNNNNNNNNNNNNNNNNNNNNNNNNNNNNNNNNNNNNNNNNNNNNNNNNNNNNNNNNNNNNNNNNNNNNNNNNNNNNNNNNNNNNNNNNNNNNNNNNNNNNNNNNNNNNNNNNNNNNNNNNNNNNNNNNNNNNNNNNNNNNNNNNNNNNNNNNNNNNNNNNNNNNNNNNNNNNNNNNNNNNNNNNNNNNNNNNNNNNNNNNNNNNNNNNNNNNNNNNNNNNNNNNNNNNNNNNNNNNNNNNNNNNNNNNNNNNNNNNNNNNNNNNNNNNNNNNNNNNNNNNNNGGAAGAGCCCUUUCUUUUUAAGGUAUUGUGCAGAUCAGAUAAUAAGGAAGUGUGUCCCUAAAGAUGAGCAGCAAGGGAUUUUAUAUCAUUGUCAUGAGAAUGCAUGUGGAGGCCACUUUGCCUCUCAGAAAACAGCCAUGAAGGUGUUGCAAUCAGGGUUUACUUGGCCAUCUCUUUUCAAAGAUGCCCACAUCAUGUGUAGAAGUUGUGACAGAUGCCAAAGGCUUGGAAAGCUAACAAAAAGAAAUCAAAUGCCUAUGAACCCCAUUCUAAUAGUUGAGCUAUUUGAUGUAUGGGGCAUUGACUUCAUGGGACCUUUUCCAAUGUCUUUUGGUAAUUCUUACAUCUUGGUGGGGGUGGAUUAUGUUUCUAAAUGGGUUGAGGCAAUCCCCUGUAAACAAAAUGAUCACAGGGUGGUUCUCAAGUUUCUUAAAGAGAACAUUUUCUCAAGAUUUGGGGUGCCCAAAGCCAUAAUCAGUGAUGGAGGUGCUCAUUUUUGCAACAAACCUUUUGAAGCUCUGUUAUCCAAGUAUGGAGUGAAGCAUAAGGUGGCUACACCUUAUCAUCCUCAAACUUCCGGGCAAGUUGAGCUAGCUAACAGGGAAAUAAAGAACAUAUUGAUGAAAGUGGUGAAUUCCAGCAGAAAGGAUUGGUCUAUUAGGCUUCAUGAUUCAUUGUGGGCAUAUAGAACAGCUUAUAAGACUAUUCUUGGCAUGUCUCCCUAUCGUCUUGUCUAUGGCAAAGCAUGUCAUCUCCCUGUGGAAGUUGAAUACAAAGCUUGGUGGGCAAUAAAGAAGCUGAACAUGGAUUUGAUCAGAGGCGGAGAAAAGAGAUAUCUAAACCUUAAUGAGAUGGAGGAAUUAAGAAAUAAUGCUUAUAUCAAUUCCAAAGUUGCAAAAUAGAGGAUGAAAAAGUGGCAUGAUCAACUCAUCUCCAACAAGGAAUUUCAGGAAGGGCAAAGAGUUUUAUUGUAUGACACAAGACUCCAUAUCUUUCUUGGGAAGCUCAAGUCAAGGUGGAUAGGCCCGUUCAUAAUUCACCGAGUAUGUUCCAAUGGAGUGGUGGAAUUAUUGAAUUCAAAUGGCAAGGACACCUUCAAAGUCAAUGGAUAUCGUCUCAAGCCAUUCAUGGAGCCAUUCAAACCAGAAAAGGAGGAAAUCAACCUCCUUGAGCCUCAAAAAGCCUAAGCAAAGAAGGGUUUGCUGGACGUGGUUUACCACAGUCCAAAAUUUUUAUAAAUUUUGUAAAUUUUCAAGUUUUUUUCAUACAUUUGAUCUUAGUUUUUUAUCUUAAAUCAUGUUUUUAGGUGUGUUUUAAUCUUUUUGAAUGAUCUUAGGUGGAAGAAAUUUCAAGGAAAUUGAAAGAAAAAAAAAUCGGAUCAAAAUCGGAGCAAAAACAGAGCAAAAACAGAGCUCUGCGAGAUUUCGCAGCCUAAAGAAAACUUCUGCGAAAUGAGCAUUUUGUUGCCAAAUCAUUCCGCAACACUUUGAGAUUCUUUGCGAGAUUUUUCGCAGCUGCGAAGGCGAGUUUGGCACACAUGUGCCACUUCGCAGCAUAGGAGUCCCCAUUUCGCAGCUGCGAAACGUCUGCGAAGCGGUAAAACCCAGAUUUCGCAACAAAAGUCCCAUUCCGCAGGGUAUUUCGCAAUUGCGAAAGCGAUUUUGGCACACGUGUGCCACUUCGCAGCACAGUAACAUUAAUUUCGCAGCUGCGAAACGCAUUGCGAAGUGGCUGCGAAAAUGGCAUUUUGCUGCGAAACUCAAACUAACCCUUAGUCUUCUGUUAUUCCUAUUUAUACCGGUCAUUUGAGCUGCGAAAAGGGUUUCAAAAUCAGAGCGCGCCAUUCUCGCAGACCGUCCAUCUCCUUCCUCGAGCCUCACCGCGCAAGCCUCCGGUCAUCUUCUCCGACCAUCAGUUCCGGCCAACUUUCGGCAACCCGAAAUGGCGCGAACCAGAGGGGCCAAGUCUUCCUCCCCUUCAAACCGCAAGAGAAGCUUGCGAAAGGAGCCAGUUCCGGAUCCCAUUUCUGAGCCUUCGCAGCUGAAAGCAAUUCCUCCUCCGGUGAAGCCCGCGCCGCCAAAGCCACCGGCGAGACGUUACUUAACCAGGUCAGGAGGUCGGCCACUGCAAAAGAGGCCAAGGGUUGAAAGCUCAGAACCCAUUGACCUGACUGAAAAAUCUCCAGAGCCUUCGCCGGUUCCAUCUCCGGUAUCCUCGCCAAUUUCCUCUCCAGUAUCAUCUCCGGUAUCCUUGCCAGUUCCGUCAUCGGUGCCAUCUCCGGCGCCGCAAGCAAAAUCUUAGGAGCCUCAAGCGCCAUUUCCAGAGCCCCAAAUUCCGGCUGAAAUAGCUCCGGAAGAAGCAAUCAGGAGGCCAAUGCUAACUCAGCCCCCCAUUGAGGGAAAUUUGGAUUGUAGAGCUCGGUCAUUCCACUCAGAGCUAUGCUUUGACAUAGCCACAUUCCGAUUGCAGCCGGAGCUUGCACAGACAUUCAACCUGCUGAGGAGAUACCACAUGGAGCACCUACUGACUCCGAGAGACUUUUUCUACCCAAGGGUAGCCAUGGAUUUCUAUCAAUCCAUGACAACCAACCAGGUCAGGGAUCCAUCUUUAAUUCAUUUCACUAUUGAUGGGAGGCAUGGCAUAUUGGGAGCAUGCCAUAUAGCUGAAGCCUUGCAAAUUCCCUAUGAGCCAACCCAAUUCGAUAAUUUUAGAGCUUGGACCAGUCAUACUGAGCUGGAGAUGGUGCGCACCCUAUCCAGAGGGGCUGCCAAUCGAUCACAUCUGUUGAGGGGGGAGCUUCCUCCAAUCAUGUUUUUGAUUGAUGCAUUUUUGCGUCAUAACCUCUACCCAUUGCAGCAUUGGACUCAAAGAAGAGGAGUCCUCUUAGAAGCCCUGUACAAGAUGUCUGAAGGAUUUUUCUUUGGGCCUCAUCAUCUGAUUCUGGCAGCCCUUCUCUAUUUCGAAGAGAAGGUACACAAAAAGAAGUUUCAGAGAGCUGAUUGCAUUCCCCUCCUCUUUCCAAGGCUGCUAUGCCAAAUUCUGGAGCACUUGGGAUAUCCUUCUGAGCCUCAGUUGGAGCGAAAGCGCAUUUGCCGUGAGCUUUUUACUCUCGACAAAUGGAACAACAUGACAGCUUAUCGAGUUGACCAGCCUGAGCGCCCACAGCCGGCUGCAAGGAGAGCAUCCCCACGACACAUACCUGAGGGUAUAACAGUUGCUGCUCCUGCCAUUUGUAGAGCUCCACCAGCUGCUCCAGCUUCAUCUCAGCCAUCCACUUCAACUGAGCCGAGGAUGGCCAUACCCAUUUCUGAAUAUCGAGAGUUGUGCCGUGCAUUGGAGACCCUCACAGCAUCUCAGAGCAGUCUUGCUCAAGAGAUGGCAGCCAUUAGAGCAUGCCAAGAGCAGAUGUUGGCCACUCAGGCUCAACACACUGCCAUCUUAAGGCAGCUCCAGCUUCAUUUCGACCUGCCACCAGCUGUUGAGCCCUCCACUUCUACUCCAGCAGAGCCACACUCUCAUCCUCCAGAGCCUCAAGCCCCAGCUGAAGCACCAACUGAAGAGGCAGACCCAUCUGCCUAGCCCCAGCACCACCCACUCAUCAUAUCAUUAUAUAUAUAUCUACUAUCUUUGUUUUAUGUAUUUCGUUUUUUAGUUUGAAAGAAAUCCCAUUAUUUUGGUACUAUAUUUGGGAUUGCUUGUAUUACUUUUCUUUUGCAUUGUACUCAAAUGGAUUCAAAGUAAUACAAGUUUAAUAUUUCUUGUUAACAGUUAGCAUUAAGUUAUCCUUAUUUCCUUUUCUCACAUAUUCUAUUCUUUUUGAAACAUGUGGUUUCUCCAAUCAGUAUUCGAAUUUGAUAUUACUCAGGAGGUACCACUUCCUCCCUUUAAUUACAGUCACUCAUAUCACAUUGAGGACAAUGCUCAGUUCGGUUGGGGGGAAUGAGGAAGGAAGUAUGAUAAGUCUUUUUGGUAAUGUAAUUAUUUUGGUAAAUUAGUUGUAGUUUUUGCUUUUUACUCUUUUUACUCUAUUCUCCAUGAAUCUUGAGAAAAAAAUUUCAAAUUAAAACAGGAGAAAUUGAACUGUUGCUUUUCACUUGACUUAGAGUAUGGAUUAUGCUUACUAAAGUGGUUCAAUUGUUGAAACUUCUAUUGAAAUCAAAUUUAGUUAUUCCACUUUAAGCUAUUCACACACUGUGCACAUUAGAUUCCGAUUAUAAGAUGAAAAACUAUUUCCCUCUUGACUUAGGAUAAUUUUGGGACUUGGUAUAUUUGACCUCAUUUGAUAAAAAUUGAAACACCCUGCAAAAGGCCAAUGAGCCUUUGAAAUAAAGAAAGUUGUUUGCUUGCCUUAAAACCCGAGCAAGGUCUGAGGGGUAUAUGGUGAAAAUCUUUGAAGCUUGGUGCCCUAUGCCUUAAUUGGUUGGGAGUCACCGACCUCAAUGCUUGUUACAAGGGUGGAUAGGAGGAGUUAGCAUGUGGUAGAUGCUUGGGUAUUAGAAAUUCAUUCUCAAAAGUCCGGGGAAAAAUCCGAGGAGUUAGUGAUUGAAAGAUCCUUAAAGCUUGGUGCCCUAAACCUUAAUUGGUUGGGAGUCAUCGAUGGACCCCCAUUACAUGGACAAUUCAGAAAGAGUACCCCAUAAAGCCUCUCUAAAAAUAAAAAAAAAAAAGUGUGUUAUUUUUUUUAUUGAUUUUGGUCAGUUUGUUGAGUGUUGAAAAGAGAUAGGUUGGGGGGAGAGAUUAGUUUAGCAUAUUAUUCUCGGAAGCUAAGGAACCAAUACACAUAGAUUUUUGAGGAAGAAUAAAGUUUGGUUCUUUGAAAGUGGAAAUGAUUUUAAAACUUCAGUUUGCAUAAUGCAUUCCCUUGUUUGACAGUGUUUAGCAUAGUUUGUUAUAACUCUUGUUGAAAUUUGCUUUUAUAUUUCUUUAAGGUUUCAUGAGAGAAUUAGAUCAUCAUGCCACUUGAGAAUUGUUUUUGAUCAGCAUGAUGUUGUAAAUUAUAGUUUAAUUUGUUGUUUAUUUUCAUUUUUCUCUCCUAUAUUGCUAAGGGACUAGCAAUAUGUCGGUUGGGGGGAGUGAUUACUACUCAAAAAGUGCUAUUUGAUAGCUUAUAAUUAAUCCUUUUAAACACUUUUGAGUAGUAGUUUUAGCCUUUUAACUCAAUUGGCAUGUUAAGGACCCUUGAAAGCAAUUUUAAUCACUUUGUGUAAGUUUUGGUGUUUUUGUUAGUAAUUUGAUCACCAAAGCAAUUCAAGUUUGAGGAGAGUUUUGAGGAAUCUUGGGUAAAGCUUAGAAGUCAUUUGCCAAGAGUAAAUCCGGAUUGCAAGGAGAAAAAGUAAAGAGAAUCUGCCAUGAAGCAUAUUCUUGAUGACAGUCGUAGCAGCCACUUUUGGAGCACUUUCUGAAGUCGAAUUGAUGCAUUCUAUAUACCAUUUCAAAGAUCAGGAAGUCAACAAUCCAAUGCUUCAAACGGUGCGGAUUCGGAGUUGAAACGAAGAAGUUGCAGCCAUUGCAAGCCAAUCACUCCAAGCUGAAGGAAGCAUUUUCCAAAGUGUUGCGAAAUCACCCUUUUGCUGCGAAGUGAUUCCGCAGGCUUUUUGUAUAGUAGGGUGUAUUUCCUUCUGAAGUUGCCCGAUAUAUGCCGCGAGAGGGAAGCUGGGAACCUCAAGGUGGAAGCCAUCUUCGCAGCCCUGCGAAGAUAGCAUGUUGUUGCAAAAUGACUUCGCAGCCUUUCUUGAGUGUCUGCGAAAUCUCGCAGACACCAUUUUCUCUUGCGAAAUGGUUCCUGGAGCAUCCCGAUAUUUGCUACCGACAUUGGGAGAUAUUUUACAUCAAAUUUUUGUUGUCUAAAUCCCAAAAUACUCCUUGUAAGCCACCAAUUACAAGAUUCCUUAGCUUUUAAGUUAGUUAAAAGAGAAAAUAUCUAUGUAAUAAUUAGUUUUAUAUUAUGUUCAUAUAAAUACCUCUCGGGAGCCUGUUCUCAGGGGCAAUCCUUUUGUAAAGUUUUGGGUAAGCAAGUAAAGUUCAGUUCUUUGUAUUGCCUUACCUUCUCACUUUGUAUAUUUUAUUUUCUUACUAAGUUAUGAACUCUCUGAGGAGUUUUCCCCAGAGAAUGAGUAACUAAACCUCUAAUUCCUUGGAGCUAAGGUUGCCGGGGAAGGUUCCAAGUGCAAGAAUGCAAAGCUUUGUGGUUUUAGCUAGUAAUGAAGAGGAAGUGAAAUCCUUUAGUGAUUUCUAUGUUUUUAGUUAACUUAAAACACCUUAGAGUCAUCUGGGCCAACACUUGGUAAGGCAAGUGAUUUCCAACCAUGGAAAUGCACUAGUUUACCCCUUGCGAGCCUCUGGGAGGUGACUUUAGGGUAGGAUUUUCUAGAAUAGCCAACACUUGGUAAGCUUUUGGACUCCAAGGAGACAUCCAUUAGUUAUCUCUUGCGAGCUUUUGAAGGGAAGUCCAAGGUUAAAGAUCAUCUUGAAUGGUAAGUGCUCGUGAGAGGCAUGAACCAUUGCAAGUUGCAUCAGUGAGAGAAUUAAAGCUGAAAUCCAAUUAAAGGAUGUAUCUGUACAACACCGGUUAGAGACUUGACUAUAUGUUGAAUCUCUAACGCGAGGAAAGGAACCAUCUGACCGGAGCUAUGUCUUUUGCAUGAGGAACCACCCCAGUGAACCUAACUCUCCAAGGAAUGCUUUUCUUCCUAAGUUAUUCCGAGUACUUGUUAUGUUAGUUAGUUUAAAUCUUUACCAAUCAAAGUUUGUGUUUUAUUUCUUAAGCUAACCUUGAAAUGAAACAAGACCAAUUCACUUGGAAUUGGUAUCAUUGAUAGCUUGCUAAUCCUUCCCAGUGAACGAUCCUAGAGCCGCUAUACUAUAGUAGCUUUUUCUUUGCUACCCUAGUAUAUGGUGUUAUAGGUUAUAAAUUUUGUUGAUUACUCCCUCAAUCAAGGAGCACCAGCUGGACACGAAUCAGCUGAGACACCAAUUGGGCACGAAUCAACCACCCUAAACCCAUUUAGACACACUUGGUCCAUUAGGCACCUUAGGCAUACUUAGGCACCUUAGGCCCAUUCAGAUACACUCGGCCCAUUAGGUAGCACCUUAGGCCCACUUAGGCACCCUAGGCCCAUUUAGGUGCACUUGGCCCAUUAGGCACCACCUCAGGCCCACUUAUGCACACUAGGCCCACUUAGAUGCACCUGGCCCACUUAGGUUUUCCUAGUUUUACUUAGGUUACCUUUUUGGCAUAUCUUGCAUAUCUCACAUGGUCUGCAUGACUUACAUGACUCAUUUUUGUAAAAUCACAUGACUUGACUUUUUUACCUUUAUAUUUUUGUUUAUUUUAUUUAUUAUCUUGCCUAUUUCCUCUUUUAUUUUAUUUUCCUAUUAUUUUGUCACUUUUCCAUAAUACUUGUCUUUACUUAUUUAGUUUAAUUUAUUAUUUUGUUUAAAUGUUUUUAUUAUUAUUAUUAUUAUUAUUAUUCUUACUUUUACUCAUUUUUAUCAUGAUUAUUAUUAUUACUUUAUUUAAUCUAUUAACUUUGAAAUUUUGUAAGGAAAUUCACCAAUGGAAAGAUAAAAAGGUGCCUACGAUCUGAAACUCGAAGAGGGUAGCUACCAUAUUGAUUCCAAUAGUAGACAUAUGGAAGAAAUGAAUGGAGCCAUGUUAUGAGGAAGAUUCAACUAAUGUAUGAAAAAGGAAAUGAUGAGUAGAAAAGAAAAAAUGUAAGUCGUCUUUUGGAAAAAGAAUCACGUGAUGAUGGAAGGAGGCUUCAACAGUGUUCUAGGUCAAAGCAUACUUUAGACGAAAAAGGAAAAGAGAUGUUAUAUUUUAGGAAGAAUUGAGGUGGCAUAUUGGAUAUACAAGUUGUAUUUUGGAAAGGAUGGAGCAGGGGGGAAUUCUUGGAAGGAAAAGACAUUAUUUUUGGAGAUUCAACAGCGUUUUGGGAAGGAGGAAUCACGCUAGUCUAGAGAAGAAAAAUUUUCAACACAUCUCGAAGGAGAACGGGAAGAGAAAAAAAAAACAGUAGGAAGAGACCAGAGAGAACUGGAGGCAACUUCCCGGUUAGUUUCUUUUGGAGAUGAGCACUUUUAGGAUAUUGAGCAAAUGGUCCUUGGAUAAUAUCUAUGCCAACAUUAUCAGAAAUUGUGAUCCUUGAUGGCCCACUGAUGCUCUGUCCCAAAGAUGAUUCCCGUUUCUGACAAUGAUAGAUUCUUCAUUUUUGGACGUGUUUCUGUCUGACAAAUUUUCAACCAAUUCGAAGGAAGCUUGCGGUUGAGUACAAUCCGAGUUAGCCCGAGUAUGAUCCGCAUGCAGUCAAAUCUAUUCUUAGAAAAGGAUUGUCUUCAGGUGUGGAUGGGCAACUAGCAAAGGAAGCAACUAAAGCAGUUUCUACUGAGAAGCAGAUGAAUAGCAAGAGUGUUUCUCCACUUUGAGUUACCUUACUCGCAGGAUAUUCUCGAUUGGUAAAUACAGACCCAAAUUUUGUUGCAUUAUGGGAAUGCCAUGCUUGAAUACCCAUGAUGAGCGGACCAUUCACUACCCAAAUCCACUUAUCAAAGCCAACGACCCUCUAGAACCGUCACAAUCUUUUGGUUCUGAAUCUCCUACACUGCAUGUGUUAUCAAGAAACGGCCUUCUAACAUUCUUAUUGCUGCCGGCAUCUCUUGUAAAGCUAGUGGACAUAGCUCACAGUAGAACUCCAACUUUCUUACAAGUGCAUCCAAAUAUACCACCAGUGAAAGAAGUUGAUGAUUCACGGUCGGUUGCAUUGAUCAAAAUGCUUCCUCUAGGACCCAUUGCAGUUCCAUUCAUUGAAAACCUUCCAUGGCUUCGGAAAUCAUUCCCAUAACUCGAAUCCAUCAUUCCAGGUCUACACGCUAAGUAUGGACCGAUUAUCACCCUCUGAAUGGGCUUUCACUUGACUAUCUUCAUCUCCACCAAAUCUCUUAUCCACCAAGGCUGAUUACUACUCAAAAAGUGCUCUUUUAUAGCUUGUUAUAAACUCUUUUAAACACUUUUGAGUAGUAUUUAUUACCUUUUAACUCAAUUGGCACAUUAAGGACCCUUGCAAGUAUUACUAAUCAGUUUUUGGCAAGUUUUGGUGUUUUUGAUAACUUUUUUAUCAUUAAAACAAGCCAAGAAUGAGGGAGAACUUGGUAUAGUCCAUGGCAAAGCAAGAUUGAAGCUAAAUUACAUGAAGAAUCCAAGUUUUGGAGAGCUUCGAAGCCUUUGCCAAAUCAAUCAAGUAUGCAAGGAAGAGAAUCAGAGAAGGAAUCUAACAUUAAAAAAUUUCACAACCUUUUGCGAAAUAUUUGCAAGCUUGAGAAUUGCCUAAGAGGAGUACAAACUGCAGGACAGAGAGCAAGGCUGUGAAGAAUGAAUUUCGCACCCUUGCGAAAUUUCGCAAGCCUUGCGAAACUGAUGAAUUUUGCAACCCCUUGCAAAAUUUUCGCAAGCAUUGUAAAAUCUUCUUGUAACCUUCAGAUAUAUUUGCACCAACUUCGUUAGAUUUUUAUCUCAAGAUAUUUUGUGUAAUUACCUAUUCUCUCCUUGUAAUUAUCUAAAGAUCUUUUUAGAUAUUUAGGAUAUCUAAUUGAGGGGUUAAAAAUAUCUCUCUAUAUAUGUUUUAAGAUAUCUCUUUUUGUAAUAUCUCAAUAUCAGAAUCUCGGAAGAAAUUCUUGGGGAUCACUUGUAAUCUCUUGGAAGAAAUUCCAGAAAAGACUUGUGCAUUCUUUUUAAUAAGAAAUAUACAGAGCUUUGCUCUGCCUUAUCUACUCAUUUUGAUUUUAUUUUCUUUCUAGCCAAACAAUCUUUGAGAAUGUUCUUCCCCUAGGCUUUUCAUUUCUUAGACUGAAGGAAGCUAGGUAAGGGAUCCGGAUACAAAAGUGGGAGUUUUCCUUGUUUCGGUUUUUAAUGAAGAUAAGUUGUGACCCGUUAAUGGUUUUUAUAUUUUUAGUUAACUUAAAAUCACCUGGACCAACACUUGGUAAUCUUUCGGACUCCAUCCAUUGAGAUCCAUUAGUUAUAUCUUGCGAGCCUCUGGGAGGUGGUUUAAAGGUAGGAUUACCUAGAAUAGCCAACACUUGGUAAGCUUUCGAACUCCCUAGAGACAUCCAUUAGUUAUCUCUUGCGAGCUUUUGAAGGGUAAUCCAAGGUUAAGGAUCACCUUGAAUGGACAAUACUAGGUGAGAGGUAUGAACCAUUGCAAGAUGCAUCAGUGAGAGGACUUUAGUGUUUGAAACCAUUAAUGGGAAGCAACUGUAACACACCGGUUCGGGAAAUAACUAUAGGUUAAAUCCCCAAUACGAGGAAAAGAUCCGAAAUCUCCCCUUUUGUAUAAGGAACGUGAACCUAGUGACCUGAAACUCCAAGAAACCUUUUCUUUGUAAUUAAUCUUAGUUACUAUUUUUGGUUAGCUUAAAACCAACCCUUUUCAACCAACUUUAUGUUUUCUUUUAAAGCUAACUUAGAAAAGAAAAAGCAUCAUUUCAGUGUUGUAACUAAUAUCACGUGUGAAAUGAAAACCCAUCCCUGUGGACGAUCCUCGAACCACUAUGCUAUGCUAGCUAUGCUACCCUAGUAUAUGGUGAAUUAGGUUUAUAAAUUUUAUUGAUAACUUCUGUCUGAGGAUUGAAUCAAAGUAGAACACCAAUUGGGGAUGAAUCUCCAAGCCCUAGUCCAGAACAGUGCGGUCUUCGCCGACCGCCUUCCUGCACUGCUCACUCAUAGAGUUAUCAGUUGCAACCAGCAGAUCAUUAUCACCGAGUUCUAUGGCUCGAACUGGCACCUCUUCCCCCGCAACCUUACCUACGAAAUCCUUAGUCCCUUACACAUCAAAUGUAUUCUCGCGCAUGCAAGUGGGUCUUGGACAUUCUCCUCUUUCGCCUUCAAAACCAUUCCGGACCUAUCCUUGUGUUUCAUCACUUCAGAUAUGCCAUGUUUUGCUUACUGGUUCUUAUGUGCUUCAAUGACCAGCUGGGAGAUAAGCAGAUUCAAGAUAUUGAAGCGGUUGAGCGGAAAGUUUUGUUCAACUAUGCUCUCUUCAAUUCACUUAAUUUCUGGGGUAGAUUGGGGAAAAUUUUGUUCAAAAAAAAAAAACGUUGGAAGAAGUUGCUAUAGUUUCGCAAGGAUCAGGAGGCUGUAUUGAUUCCCCACAUCAGAGCCAAAUGACAGCUAAAGCAAGAAAUGCAAGGAAAACAAGGGCAAUCAGAGGACUAUGUCUUAUCGUAUGCUGACACUUUGCUAGACUUGCAACUGCUAGAAGAGAAGUGGAAGCUUACUUAUGGAGAGAUAGUUAGUUUGUGCUCGGAGUUUCUCAAUGCUGCAACUCAUUUGACAAGCACUACAUUGCAGUGGAUUAUGGAAAAUGUGAUAAAAUACCAGCAUAUUCAAGCCAAUGUGUAUGAAGAGAUUAGUGGGGUCGUGAAGGAUGGAGUGGAAAUGGUAAGAGAUGAAGAUUUGCAGAAGAUGCCAUACUGGAAGGUCGUGAUUUUGGAAGGUCUGAGGCGUUGUUCUCCAAGACACUUUGUGCUGCCUCAUUCAGUGACCCAAGAUACAGUCUUGGACGGUUACCUCGUACCCAAAAAUGCUACUAUAAAUUUCAGGGUUAUGGAGAUCAGUCUAGACCCAAAAAUAUGGGAAAAUCUAAGAGAGUUCAGGCCCGAAAGGUUCUUGAACAGUUUUGGAGGGGAAGAGAGGGAGAUAGACGCUGCUGAAAAUGACGACGGCAAUGAGAGCUCUCGAUUCUAUGACUCCUGAACGUUCUGAUUAGAGGGAUCUCUGGAUAUGAAUCGCGAAUAACACAUCAUCAACCUCAUCAUGCAUGGGAUAAAGUUCAUAAGAAUCGUUUGAUUUCCACAUCUCCAGACUAUCAUCAAUAAGCAUACUACCACCAAGCAUGGAUUCGUCUACAGUGGCCUGAUUAUACAUUGAUAAAUUGCUAAAUCUCAAAGAAGAGUCGAGAUCUGGUCCAAAUCUGGCUGCCAUAAAGAAAUGAAAUUGUCGGAGCUCUGGGUUUUAGUUCAGAUUAUAGGAUUUUUGCUAGUGGUAAAGGUUGAAGCAAUGAGUAUGGGAUUGGAGUUUGGGAUCAGAUUACAUGGAAACAGAUUGAUUUCUUCUAUGAACCUAUUGGUUGGUCUCUUGGUAAUGCUGACAAGCUUUAGCGGCUGCAAGGAACCAACUGUUUGAUGGUGGCAACUCAGUUUCCUAGCGGAUAGAAUUGAGGAUGGGAAAGGGAAGGCAGUAGUGGCACACGAUUGCAUGUGAAGAAAAUUCUCUGACACAUACAAAAGGACGUCACUCAUAUAUAUAUAGAGGACUUUACGCCAUUUUGUGGAAGAACAACCACCUUUCUCUAGGUUACACAGCCACAGACAGUCCACCUAGAACACCACGCAUCCAAUUGUGAUUCGCACAUCUGCCACUUUGAGAAAGCCACAAUCCACUCCAUUGUUCGGAAAAGUAAGUUGGAAUUCCGUUCUACUUAAAUCUUGAUUUAUUACAUAAAAAAAAAUUGUUGAUUGCAAUUGGGUUUAGGCUUUGAUUCGUUAUGUUAGAUUGAUAGGGUUUGAAUAAUUUAGUUCCAGUUUCAAAUUCAUCAAAUUAGAUUAGAGAGAUUCGAGUUUAAUCUAGUUAUGAUUUUUAUCCAUUAUAUUGAUUAGAAAAGUUUGGAAUUUUUUAUUUUUGAUUUGGCUUUGGUUCAUUAUGAUAGCUAGGAAAGCUUGAAUUUUAUUUAAUUUCAUUUGGAUUUUUCAUGUUAGUUUGAAAAAUUGAAAUUUUGUUUUGAUCUAGUUUUGAUUUUUUAUGAUAGUUUGGAAAGUUAUGACCUUUGUUUUAAUUUAAUGUUGAUUCAUUAUUUUAGUUUGAAAGUUAUGAUUUUGUUUAAUUUAGUUACGAUUUAUUAUUUUUAGUUUAACAAGUUAGAAUUUUUAAGUAUUUGUUUGGAUAAUUCUUGAUGAUAAUGGAAAAGUUAGAAUUUUUAAGUGUUUGGAUAAUUCUUGGCGAUAAUGGAAAAGUUAGAAUAUUUAAUAAGUGUUUGGAUAAUUUUUUAUGAUAGUGGAAAAGUUAGUAUUCUUAAAUUUUUUUUUUUUAAAUAAUUCUUGAUGAUAGUUUAAAAGUUAGAAUUUUGAUUAGUAUUAGUUUUACUUCGUUCUUAGUUGGGAAAUUCAUAAUUUCAUUUAGUUUAGUUUCAAUUGAUCUUUUAGUUUAGAUGUUAUUAAAAUUCUAGUUUAUUAGUUCAAUUGAUUUCGUGCUACUAUUUCCAUAUCCUAAGUUUGUUAAUUUUAAUUCAUGAUUCAUCAUUUUUUUAGUUUAUAAGUUUUAGAAUUUAAGUUGGCUAAUUUAUUUCACUGUGUUGAUAUAUUCAUGUUUAAAAAAAAAAAAAAAAACUUGUUGACUCUAGUUUUGAUUGAUCCUGUUUUAGUUGAUAGUUUUUUUUUUUUAGAAUUUUAAUUAGUUUGUUUGGUCUCAUACUAUUUGGUUCAUGUUUUAAGAUUGUUAAUUUCAAUUUUUUAUUAAUUCUAUGCUUUAGAAUUGUAGCCAAUUAGUUUAAUCUAUCCCCAUGUUAUCAUUUCGUCUUUAAAAAUAGUUAAUUUUAGUUUUUGACUUAUUUUAUUUAGUUUAUGUGUUUGUUUUCUUUUAUUUAAUUGAUUAGUUUAGUCGAUUGUAUUUUGUUAGAUUUAUGGCUUAAAAUCAUCAAUAUUAGUUGAUAUGUGUUGUUAGUUUUGUUUUAAAAGUCAAAUAAUAUUUGCGCUUGAUUGAUUUUAUCUUAAGUUUAAAUGUUUUUAAAGUUCCAGUGCUUAUAAGAUCUAAAAUGUUUUGGUUUAUCACUUUUGUCAUCCUUUGUCAAAUUCAAUUUCUAGAGGUCAUCAGAAAGUAAUGAAGAUUGACCUCCAUUCUCACCACUUUAGUUUGCUUGGUUGUCAAAAAUUCUACUUUGUGAUUUUGUUUCUUUUAUUUUGCUUGUUUCUUAUGUUUGUUGUUUUGAAAUUAAUUUCUUUUAUUUUAAAAUAAAAUACUUUUCUCAAAAGAUCCCUUUGAAAAUCUAUUUUUAAAAUUCAUUUAGAGUCCUUGGAAUCAAAAUCUCAUUUUCUUAAAUAAUGUGCAACCAUGUUUUGAUUGGUUCGCAUCUUUCUCAGUUUUCAAUAAAAGCUACGAUUUUGAAUAAGACACGAAUCCAAGCUUGUGGUCCCAAAUAAAUUGGAUAAUUCUAGCUUAGAUUCGUGUAUAUCAAUUGGGGAAUUGGUGGAACCCCUACAUAAGAAAAUUUUUUAAAACUCAUCUUUGCUACCACCUUUUCUAUUUGAUGAAAUCAUCUCUAUUUAUUUUUUUAGGAAUUAUAUACAAGAUGUAUGUGAUAAUUGAUGAUUUCGUAUACUUUGAUCAUUUUUUCUAUGCUAAUUAAAUAACAAGCAUGCUAGAAUUUCUUUAUUUUAUUAUUUAUUAUUUAUUAUCUAACCCCUCAUGUCUUGCGGAAGCAUGUUACAAGUUAUCUAUGCUAUCUAAAUACGCCCCCUAUCUCUCACCUUCUAAAUUCUGUGAUAUGUUUGUCACUAUGAACCACACCUAUGUUUGAUAGUGCUUGGGUGUCUUGAUAUAUUGUUUCAUUGUUCGAUUAUUUAUGAUAAAGCUCAUGCUGGAUGAUAUACUAUUUGAACUAACUUUGAUAUCUUGUGAUAACGUUUAAGAAGCAGCCUAGGUAAGCACCCUAAAUCUUCUUUAUGAUUGUGAUUGGUUUUCUUGUUUGGCAUGAUAUUUUUUUAAAUCACCUAGCCUACUUAGGUAUCUAUAAACAACCAAAUUAAUUGUCACAUUUCCCUCAACUUAGUCAGUAAAGACCUUUGUAGGGCUUGGAGGGGUGCUACCUUUUAGAGGUAUCUUUCCAAUAUAUAACCUGAUCCCCGGACCUAGACUCAGGUUUUUCAAAGACACGCUUUUCCAAAAACUAUGGAGUCACCUUUUUUAAGGUUUUCUUUCUUAUUUUAUUUUCCCUUUAAAAUAAAAAUAAAAUAAGUGGCAACUCCGACUUUUUCCAAAACUAUUUUUUCACCAAUAAAAACAAGUCUCGCAGAUCAAGUGGGGGCACACGUGAAAAAUGCGAGUCCACAGUUGUUGUGUUGUCAUCUCUCACAUUUGGUCUUCAUAUACAUUUCAUCACUAAUAUCCAUGUCACAUCACCCAUUGUAGUGGUUAUGCUAUGUCACCUAUUAUUGCAGUCAUGUCACACCAUCAUCACAUAGUUGUACCACGUCAUCAAUAUCAACCAUGUGGAGUUUGACCUUUGAAGACCUGUAUAGCCUAACACUAGAUAAGGAUGCAUAUGUGACCAUUGUGUUUAAUUUUCCACUAUGUUUGCCAAGAUGGUUAGAUGCACUCAUACCCACACAUUGUACUACUAGGAAUCCUGGAUUGCUCUAUUCCCAAGCUUAGAUGAAUAAGGUGCAUGUAGUCUAUCUUGGGCCUCUUAAGAUAUAUCAUAACGGAAACAUAUGACAUCAAAAACCAAAAUAAAACAUAGAUCUAAAGAUGAAAAGCUCACACAUAUGGUUUGGAUGUUCCUAGAUCAAAUCCAAGUUGGUGGAAAUGUCGAAAGCUCCAUAGAACUGGUCUACCUAGUGUUCUUCCACUUGAUCUCUCUUUUCGUGGAUGUUUGGCAUGAGAGAAGGGUGGACUUAUCUCUCUCCUUAAGGGUAUCUAGGGUUCCCCUCUUUGGAAAUUCAGAAAACUGAAUAAGAAGUCCUAACCCUUAAAAGGAUUUAUAUAGGCUUAAGUGAGUUGAGCCCAAAUUGGGUUUGUGUCACUUAAUCUAGCCCACUUGCAUCCUAAUAACUUAAUUAGUCUAAUGGACUUCAAUUAAUAAAUUAGCAUAUUCUGGAAAGAACAUUCAUAAGAUCUAGUGGAAUCUUAUAUUUUUACUAAAACGCCUUUAUGCACACUUAUGAAUUAUUUAAACAAAAUACCCUCAAAGUGUGGGAGCUUGAGCAAGGACCAUUGGGUCUCAUAGAAAAAUAUUUACUCCCUUAGAAUCUAAUUUUAAAGUUGACUCAACACUUCAUUAAAAAGACUCAACUGCUUUCCAAUAUCCAACGAAAUUACAACGAGUAAAGCUCAAUUUCAUAAUGUACAAUCCAUUACAUACAAACUCCUUAUGAACUGGUGUUUAUAAUCUAACAAAGUAAUGCCAUCAACCCAUCAAGAUUACCUCUCCAAUUCGUAAGUUACAUAUUUUCCUAUUAUGCGAUCAACUGACAUACUCUAUCUCCAAAGAGUAUAUGUCAAAUUUCACUAAAUGAAUUACUGCAACCAUAAAGUUUAUGAUUACACGUCCUUUAUAAUUACCCAAGGGGACAUGUUGUCUCAAUCCUAUGAGAUAUCAUGGUGCCUCUAUUGACAAAACUUGUUGUCAUUAGCCUCUAUCAAUAAUGACUCAAUCUAUAGGGAUAUAUGAACACAUUAAGGUUUCACCUAUAGGUCAAAGUCUUUUAUUAAUUUCAACACAAGCUUAAUAUCCUCUCAAGAUUAAGAGUCCAUGCAACAUAGUAGCUUGGUGAAUCAUGACAAUUUGAUAGCCUUACAUCAUGAUUCACUGUAGUGAUUGAACUAAUAGAUUAAAGUCCCUAAAUAUCAAAAUGUACUAAAUCAAAAGGCUUAGAAGCUCGAGAAACCAAGUUUACAAAAGGUAAUCUAUGUUCUUAGCCAUUUGACAAGGAAGAUAAAAAUCUAAAAUGGUUGUGUUUGGAACUUUCAAUUUACACAACUUCAUAACUUUGUGAACGAUGGGGAAGGAUGGAUGACCUAGAUGAUGGUGCUAAAGAGUAGGGUCUUGAAGUUGAGUGUGGUAAGCCUGGAUUUGAGUGCUUGGACAAGGUUGGGAUGAUUGGUUGGAGAUUAUGGUUGGAAGCAAUUUGUAAAGACCAUCCUCAAGACCAUAUGUGAUAAUGAUGUUCAACAUCUGGGUUUGCAAAAGAAGAUAGUUGUUUAUGUCAAGCUUGAUAGAAAUUGGAUGAUUUAGAAGAGGGAAAGCUUGGAAAUGCAGUGUAGGUUGAUUUUGAGGGCCUAGAACCAGUUGAUUAGGGUUGUUUCAUUGAGGAUCGAUGUUAACUGGAGUUGUAGGUUGAUAAGCCAUUAGAGAGGAAAGUGAAAACGGAAAAGGAGAAGAAUGGAAGAACAAAGAGAUUAGGGUUUGCUCAACACAUUGCUAGAGCAGGGACGAUUCUAUUAUAUACCAAAAAUGGAAAAUGCAAAAAAUGUGUUGUACAAGAGAGUUGUUAUCAACAUGGUAAGUAAUAGCAAAAUAGAUACAAUGUUACACUCUAAUUCGCUUGCACUUGGGAACCCAAACUCUCAAACAUAGAUAUCCACUUUUCACACAUUAAUGGUGGUAAAGAAAAAAAAAACCCAAAAGCACUUAGAAAACUAUUUUCAAGAAAAAAAAAAUUAGCUAUUGAUACAUUUUUGAAAAUGUUGUGUAUGCAACUAAUUUGUUGUAUCUAGGCCUAGAUUACAAAGAACAUGAUAAAAUCUUAUUUAGCCCUUCUUUUUUAUUUCUCUUAAUAAUUCCUUUUAAGCUCUUCUUUUUUGGUUCCUUGAUAAAAAUUGUUUUGUAUUAUUGCCUAUUUUCUCUAUAUACACUUAUAGAAAUCAUCAAAUUCCAAUCCUUUGUUUUGUUAUCAUAAAUAUUCAGUUGAUUACCUUCAAACAAAAAACCUUGGGCUAACAUAACGCACUUGCAACGACAAGAAAAGGAAAGAAAUGCAAAACGUUCCUUAUGUAAGUUCAAUUGGAAGUCUAAUGUAUGCUUUAUUAUGUACUUGACUCGAUCAAUUGGUUAGCCAUCACUAGAGUAAACAAGGACUUGUUCAUUGGUGAGUGGUCAAAAGAAUUUUUUUCCUAUCUCUGAGGCAUGUUAGAUCUUGUUCUCUACUAUUAAAGGGCAUAUAGUUGAGAUUAAUGGAGGAUGCUAUGAUGUAAGUUGCUUUAAUGACAAAGAUAAGCACAUAUAUAGAUUUAGUAUUGGUUUCUGCUUUUUUGCUCAGUGUAGUAGCUAUAUCCUAGUGUAAUAUGGAACAAUUUUGUACUGCAUUGUUCGCAGUGGACUUCGAGUAUGUUACUUGCUCAACAUUAGUAUAGGAGUUGUUUAUUUUAGGAGAUUAUUUCAGUAUCUGUUUCAUAGCUCUUAUUGUUUAUAUUGACAAAGUGGCUACUUUGUCUUGUGCCAAGGAUCCCAAGUACCAUGUAGAACAGAACACAUACAUCUAAUUCCAUUACAUUCAAGAUAUUGCUCCACAAUGGAGGGUGGUCCUACAACACAUCUCAACUAGCAAUAUGAUGGGUGAUACUCUCACUAAAUCUACUACGAGAAAUGUCUUUUUCACUCAUGUUAGGAGUAUGGGACUUUUUACAAUUUGAUAUAUUUUUUGAACACCUUUUAUAUUAAUUGACAUUUUCAAUUAUGAGUAUCUUAUGCAUUUAUUCAUAUAGGCAAUCACUGGCGCGUUUUUUUGGAGGCAAUCAUCUUGUACCUUUGAUCUAGACUCUCAUUGUCACAACCCAAAUUCCGGGCGACCCAAAAUUUGGCCCGUGACCCCAGGUCAAAGGUUUGACCCUAAGGGUUUCUCCUAUUCCACGUUGGCAGUCAACUAAACACUCUGAAUUUUUUUUUUUCUUUUUUUUUUCACAUAUAAGUCCCACUAGGGUUCUCACCAACUAACAAUAUUUUAAAACCUUACUCAAACACAUCAAGAUUUAAUAAACAUCAUUGCAUCCCAAAAUAAAGUUUCAUAAAAAAUCCCCUUAAUCAAACUAAGGUCUUAUUACAUUAUCCAUAAUUCACUUAUUACAAGGUCUCAAUGCCACAAACACAAUAAAAAAAUAAAACCUUUCCACUAAACCACUUCAGGGGCAUCUUGAAGUCCUCCCUGUCCCAUCUGUGGAUCCUCAGGAGUGAUAUCUGCAUCUAAAAAGAUAUAAAAAUGAAGGAGUGAGCAUUUCCACAUUGCUCAGUAGGGUGCCUAACACCCAAAGGGUUAAUGGGGGAUUACUAUAAUUUGAGAACCCAAACGCAACAGUUCACCAAUAUAAAUCAAGUCACACAAUUUAACAUAUAACAUUAAACUCAAUUCCACAACAUUCAAUCAUUAAAUGAAUGCAUAUAAACGUAUGACACACAAUCAUACAAUGCACUAUCGUUCUCGGGCUUUCACCGAAGGAUACGCGUCCGCACCCAAAUAUACUCCCCAUUCAGAGUCUUCCCGGGGUAAACUUUUGGGUCUUUCACCCUAGGGAUCUCUCUCCCUUCUUAGUUCGCCUCACACGGGCUUUCACUUUUCAUCACUAUUUUAUUUUUUUCCAUUUCAUACACUUUUCACAAAAAAAAAUUUUCUUCAUACAAUCAUGAUGCAAAUGAAUGCCACAAAUUCCAAAAUUCCUUAAUAAUUUCUACAAUUCCAAUAAUUUCAACAUUCUCAAUAACCCAAUAAAAUAAAAUUUUCACAUUAAAAUUCCCGAAAAUAUACCAACAAAUUUUCGGAAAUUCAAACAUCAAUAUACUUGAAUUUAUAUCACAAUUUCAGAAUUUUUCAAAAACUCUAAUAAUUCCCAAUAUUUGAAAAUAACUAAUUUUUCACAAUAAAAUUAUCGCAAAUAUUCCAAUCAAUUUUCAAAAAUUCAUAAGUCACUAGAUUUGAAAUCUUGCCCUAAUUCCGGAAUUUUCCUACAUUUCUAGCAAUUUUUAACAACUUAAAAUAAUUAUUUAUCAAUUAUAAAGAAUUCCGAAAAUUACAAAAAAAUCCAGAACAAAUCCCAAAGCAUUCCAGAAAAUUCACCCAACAUCACAAUUACCUACUUAACUCAUAAUUAUCAGAUUUAUAAUUUUUUUUUCAAGGGAAAAACAUAAAAAUUUAAGUUUUAGGGUUAAGGUCCCCUACCACAAAUCUGAGAAUUUGGCCGUUAAAAACGAAAUCAGCCACCGUAGACUUGUUCCUCUACUCGAAUAGAGUACUUCCUCCGAAUUUGGGCCGAAACAGAGAUCGUUUGGCCGUCCAAACGGCCGGUCAAAAAUCCGGCGAGUGACCCAAUUUAGCCUUUCUCUCUCUCUCUGCCCCGCGUGCUGCAAUUCUCCUCCUUUUCCCCCUUUUUUUUUUUAAUAGCCCACUUCACAUGGCUUUUAAAAAGCCACCAGCCCACUUGCUUUUAAAAGCCACCAGCCCACUUCACAUGGCUUUUAAAAGCCACCAACCACUUAAGCCAAGCCCAACUCAAUAUCUAAGUCCAAUCCAUUAUUAUUAUUAUUAUUUUUCUUUUACAACCCAUUACAAACUGCCAAUAUUCAAAGCUCAAUGAAUAUUUUUAUUUUAUUUCUUUUAUUUUCUUUUCUUUUGUUUAUUCUAAUUGUUUUAUUUGAUUUCCAAUUCAUUUUUUUUUCAUUUUAACACACAAUUUUAUUUAUUAACACCAAUUAAAAACUAAUUUUCUCAAUAUUAUUAUUCAUCAAUUUAAUUUAAUUUUUCUUAAUUAAUUCUAUUUUUUUUAUUAAUUCUUUUUUUUUCCCGGAAAAUUUCAAUUUCUAAAAUCCUAAGAAAUUUUCUACCCUAAGGCUGACAUGGCAUAAAAUUUCAACUCGUUUAAUUGACCGACACAAUAAAACGAAAUUCACCAAUCCGAAAUUGACACGUGUUCUCCAAACACUUUUCUUUUUAACUUUUCAACCAUCACACAAAAUAAGACUUUUCAAACUAAAAUUACUAACGUGGCAUAAAAUACCCGGUCAUUACACUCAUAGGCCUGUGUGUAUCUCUAUUUCCUAUAUGCUCAUGAUUGCUACCAAAAUUGAAAUCACCCAGCUUUGGCAAUGAGCAUUUAUUAUCCGAAGACUAAUGGUAUUGCUAUACUUGUGAUGUUUAUUACACCAAGCAAAAACUCUAAAAUUUUUAACUUCUUUGUUUUCAUUUUUAUGUACUAAAGCUCUGGUAAAAUAAGGUUAUCCUCUAGGUGUUUGCAAAGUCAUCUGAAGGAAUCAGCUGAUGGAUGAAAUCUAUUCCAUUGAAGAACUCUUUGAAAAUUUUCACACUAAAAUGUUCAUAAAAACCAUAAACACAUAGGUACAAUCAAUCCAAAUGAUCAAUUAGUCAUGGGUGCAUAUACCUCCAUGAAUUUCCUACAAAGAACAUGAUUGUUUUAAUAUAAAAAACUCUGGUGCUCAGUGCGGAUUAUGGGAUUUGUUUUCAAGCACACGUGCACAUACAUGCAUGUGGCCUGGUGCACGCUCGAGGACAUGGCACAAGUGGACCAUAUAUGCAGCUUUAAUGGCGCAAAUUCAUGCAUGAAUUAUAUGGCCAGUAAGGGGCCCAUGUGGUGGGAUUCAGCUUCAAGACAAAAGAGAUGCAUGUUCACAAUCCUUUUGUCAAGUAACCAUCCAAGUGAGGCAGCAGGUCCAAGCCCCACCACUGUGGGUCACCUCCAAUUAUUUCCAGUCCACCCCAAUUAAUUUUAAUAUCAUUUUUCUUCUAGUGAUUCUAUCAGCAUUCUAUCACAACUGCAUGUGACCCUUUUAAACAAAUGACAAAAUAAUGAUCAUUUCGUAUUCAAGUGAAGGAGAAGUUAAUUAUAUAUGAUUAAACAAUGAAGGACAACACAAAAAUUGGGAAGUCAUUAAAUAUAGUAGUUGAUUUGAUAAGAAAAAUUAACAUCGAUCGGGAUGUGAAUUAACAUUGAUGUGAUGGUCGAUCCAAAACACUUCAAGUACUCCUUGUUUAAUUAAAUUUAUUAUAAUAAUUCCAUUUUAGGUGGAAUAUUCUACAUCACAAUCCGAUCCAGUAAUUAAACUCAACUUUAAUUACAUUAUCUAGCUACAAUUGAGUGAUUAGAUUAGCUUACUAAACAACUACCAAGAUACAGUGCAUGAGUGGGAGCCACUAAAAUGGCUAAGUACCAAAAGCUGGUGGAACUUUGUUUUCUUAACUUAAUUGCUUAUGUUAUCAUCAUGGUGGUGCCUCCCACUUCACAAAACUUCUUUUGCUUUUUGCCUUUCUUCUUUUCUUCCCUUUUUUAUUUAUUGGUUUAUGGGUGCAUCUGUCCAGUUGAGAUCCCUUCCAAGUCCUCAAAGCGCAUUCCUCCAUGUUUAAUUUUGUACACAUGCAUGAGCAGUGCCUGACUGUGUAACAAUGUUACAUGCACCAUGAAGCUACAUGAUAUGAAUGAAUGCUUGAGAUGUAACCAAGGGUCCCACCCACAGCCUAAUCAGUUACCAUUUCUUCUGUGGCUGAGUAUAUAUCAUAUGUUUUAUGUUUUAUGGAUUUUGAGCUAGUUUUCUCCUCCUCUUUGUCUCUCUGGUUUUGAGGAUGAAGAAGCUUAACGUCAUACUGAACAAGUGCAAGAGCUUCUCAAGGCAGAUGAGAAGGUCCUCCUCUUACAAUAGUGCUAGUCCAAGAUCAAACUCGGCAAGGGAAGAAACAUUUGCAGAUAUGAAAGAGGAAGAAGAACAUCAAGAAACGGUGUAUGUGGGAAGUAAAAGGAGGCAAUAUGCAGUUAGUUCGAAGCAUCUAAAGCAUCCUUUAUUGAAUGCUUUAAUUGAAGAGAAGUCCAAGCAGGGUCCGGGUGGAGUCAUCUCUGUGAACUGUGAGGUUGUUCUCUUCGACCACCUAUUAUGGAUGCUGGAUAAUGCAGAUCCCAAGCUCACCAGUGAAUCAUUGGAGGAGUUAGCUGAGUUUUAUUCCCUCUGAUACUCAGAGACUUGUUAGCAUCAUUCAUAGGCUUCAUCUAUAUAUGUUCCAGUACCAGCAGCAAGUAUUGAUAAUCUCCAUGGUUAGGUAGAUUCAUUGCUCCUUGGAUGUUUGAUUCAUUUUGUUAUGACCGUGCUUCUGUAUGGCUGUAAUCCGUAAUUACUUAAUGAAUAAACUGUAGGAUAAAUAUUCUCAUAUAUUUUGUUCAUCUCCAUUGUACUUCCAAGUGUUGCCACAUUGAUUUUUUCAGAUGAACCAUGAAUAUGUUGCCUAUAGUGGCUGAUCUUCUUACCUUGAGAAUGCAUAUGGGAAAAAGGUUUAGAAUUACCUUGCUCUUAGGAACAUAUGGAUUCAUGAGAGUUCAUAGCAAAAUGAUAUAGAAAAAUAAUCAUUUAAAUGAAAUAAGAAUGAUGAUAAAUAUCAUUGUGACCCAAAAUAAGGGUUUUCGUUACCUUUUGAAGUGGGCAAAAAUCUCCAUUAAUUGUUUUAUUAACCAAUUUUUUCGUCUCAAGUUAUGAAUAAAAUUACGAGAACCAUUCUAUUUCCGUAAUACCCAAGUGCCUUGACCUUUAUUUUUACAUAAAACAUAGAAUAAAAGAACUUCAAAAGGAAACCUUUUGUUUUUCAAAAAGAAGAAUUAUGUUCUUUCUCUUAUCAGAUUUUAAGGGAGAGAGUAAAAACAAUAUUCCUUCUCUUAUUUUUUCAGAGAGAGUCUUCUCACCGAGGGAGAAAAAAAUUUAUUAUUUUUUAAUUUUAAUAAUGACCAUUUUAGGUAGAUUUAAAACUGUUAAAAACGUUUCCCAUUUUUAUUUUGCUUGGGCCGGAUCGGCUAGGUGGAGUGAGCCAUUUGGGCACCGAAACCCAACUCCAACACAUUGCGUUGUUGGUUGGUGGCAUUAUAAAGAGAAAGACCAUCAUCAACCCUGAUUCCCCAUGAUUCCUUAUCAUCAACUCACAUGACAACUUUCUCUUUUUAAUUUCAGAUCAUAAUGCCAGCAUCGAUCACUCCCACUUCACAAAGUGAAUUAUUUUUCCUUUCAUACAGGCAAUAUUGGAACUUGAAAUAGGCCUGCCAAUUGAUCAAAUUUUGACCCGACGGCUCAAAUUUUCAUGGUAAAGGCGUAUAGCCACGAACCCCUUAAUGGUACAUUUUAUUAAAUUCUUAUGCCCCAAUAAAUUAAAUAAAGACACAGAGACCCAAAGCUGAUCCAAUAAUGGUCUGACACGAGAGAUAAAAUCAGGUUGCAUGCUAGUUCUAUGCAAUAUAGAUAUGGCUACAGUAACAAGUUAAAUAUCUGAAAUAUAAGAUAUGUACAGCCAAGAGAAAGAAACAAGCACUCUAAUGGGGCCGAUCGUGGGAUUUGUAUAUUUUAAAAUUAUUUAUUCUUUAAGAUAUCUACUAUUUUGAUUCUCAUAUAAAAAGCUUAGAGAUCCAGGGUAUUUUCCAUAUCUGGGUGUAACUUGGAGAUAUUUUGGGUACAAGGAAAUUAAGUUGAUAUAGAUAACCAUUUAAGAUAUUGAUGUUAAAAUUGUAUUUGUAUGAUUGAAGCAAAUGCGCUAAGCAACCAGCUAAUAUUAGAGACACUUGGCAGCUCUGUAUGCUGCUGAAGCUUAGUACAAACAGCUAGCAAAGCUGCUGCCCAAUUUAAACCAAGCAACAAAAGACUUCGAAAGUCGGCGAUCUUUGCAUUUUUGGCAGCCCUUUUCUUCUCCGCCACGACUUCGCUAAGCUGCAGCUUCAAGAUUAUCGGCACACACAUGGAAACAACUUAAUUAAUUAGGAUUGGUUGCUCAAUUUGCUUUACUUCACCCUAGGUAUGGCAGACUUUGUUUUGGGGGUUGUGUGUCAAAUUAUUUUCUCUAUCAAUUAACCAAAUUUAAAGGACUGAAUUUUUAUUGUUGAGCUAAAUUGUUUGUGCCCAUAGAUUCAAGGAUCUUGCAAUAAUUUAAUUAACAAACUUGCCUUGCUUGUUUUUCUGUUGUUAGUGAUAGUUGGGGAUGAUAUGUUUAAUCUAGCAAUUUUCAAGCUAUUUGUUAAAGUUGAUUGAUGAUUUGAUAAGUUCUAUUUGGUUAUGAUUUAUGUUUUUUUUUUUUUUUCUCUAUCAAGGAUGCGAUGAACAAGGUUGAAUUUAUGCUUCUUGUUGUCAUGAAUUGAUGGAAGUUAGAGGGAUUCAUAUGUUCAUGAGUUGUAUGACUUGAAUGGGAAAACUAUACUUGGAAUUGUGCUUUAUGACAUGGGUGUUAGCUUGGUGACAAUGAUUGAAUUUUAAAACAAAAUUGAUGGAGAAGUUACCUUAGUGGAAGUGGAAACAAUGGAUGGUUAGCACUGAUGAUGGAUACCUUUACAUACUAAGGGGGGAAAGGGUCCCUAAGUGAGAGCCUUAAAAGGAAGAGGGUAUUGUGCACCGGUUGGGAGAAAAAGAAAAAAACGUCUCUAUGUGAGAGUGUUAAAAGGAAAUAGGCCAUUAUGUUCAAGAACCCAAAACUACGACAAAAAGAUCCCGUAGGGAUGUAAUAGGAGGCAUAUACAUAUAUCCCUAGGUGCAAGUCCCUGAAUAUAUAUACUUGUUUUUCCAUUUUUUGAAUAAGAUAGGAAUUUCCUACUCCAUAAAGUUAAAGGUUACUUCCUAUUGAUAUUUGGUAUGUUGAAAUGUUACUUUUUGUACAUAAUCUUAGAAUUUAUAUUAUUUAUUACUUUUAACAUAGUGCUUAAAAAUAGUCAUUAGCUAUUAAUUAAGCUUUGUUAGCUCACCCUAUUACUCAUUUUUUAGAUUCAGAUGUUGAGGCUCCUCAUGGGCAAAUGCCAGAUGAUUGAUUAUGCGCUUUGAAGAUCUUUUUGGACAGCUUCUUGAUAGAGCUUGAGGCUUAUUUUGAUGUAUUUUGGGUGUGAGAAACCAAACAUGAUGAUCUAUGUAACCUUAAGAAGAUUUAGACACCUAGUGCUGAUUUGGUUGCAUGAAGGCCUAUUUUUGCAUGUAUAAAGGAAUUUUGAUGGUGUGAAUGGGAGGUGAAAUCUCCAAGGAACAUCUAGUUGAAUUUUUGCGUUAAAAUGGCCAUAUUUACUAUUCCAUUGUUUGAUCUCUUUUGUUCUAAUAAUUAAUUUUAUUUGAGACUAGAAUGGAUCUACUUUCUUUAGGACCAGGUCCCAAAUCAAUUCACCCUUGGAAAGUUAAAAUAUUAAUUUCUUCCCGGAAACGAAUCAAUAGUUCUGAGUGGCAACAUGAGUAACCAAGUAGGUGUUGGGUAGUCUACGUGAAGUUAUGGCAUAAUUAGAGACUAAUUUCCAAUGAAUAUUAUUAGCCCUCUUCUUAUUCUGGACUCAUGAGCUGGACCUUGAGUUAGGCCGAGCCAUGGUUCCAUGGGAAAUACUCAAACCUAUUCCAGCACCUGCGCAAACCUCCCUAAACAGGUUGACACCACGAACUUGCGGAGGCCAUCUGAGCAGGGUACCUAAGCAGACAUAAGGACUUCUAUGCAACCUCUAAGAGCUUCAUUUUCAAAGCUCUCUGGGCAGUCCCUGAGCCGACAAGUGAUGGCAGCACCUUGAAGCUCACCAACCCUAGGUUACUGCAUGAGAAUCUAAAUGCUACAAGGUGUUUUUUUUUUUUUUUCCAGGCCUUUCUAACGGCGGUAUGCCAUCUGGAAGUUGUUAGAGGAGAAAAUGACGAGGUUGAAUCUGGAGCAGCAAGGGCAUAAAUAAUUCUGACAAUGAUUGGAGAGAGAAUGAGAAGAGAACCACUGACAGCACAGCCACAACAAAUUCUGAUAAUGAUUGAGAGAAGAGGGAAAGGAGCUAACCCAGGGCUCCAGUGUAGCCCAUGGUCCGUGCAUCAGUAAUCGAGCAGGCUCUCAAUCCAGCAUUUGGAGUAAAUCCAUUUCAUCCUAGAGGCUAACAUUAGACUACAAAAAUGGCCCAUGAAUUGGAGGGCAUUCCUUCUGCCAAGAAAAAAAAAAACCCUAGAUAAGGGCUCUUUGGCUCUCUGGAUGGGAGUCUCUCUCUAUUUUCUCUUGGAUCUUCUCUUUUCUGAGGAGAUAUAUAUAUAUAUAUAUAUACUGACUUGACCAAUGGAGAGAGGGACCCUGAGGCCCCCCUCGGGCAUCCUUUAUUUUGCAGGCAUUUCUCGACCAAGCAAAGGAUGUUCAUCGCUCAACUGAAGUCAGGCAGCAUCCAACUAGCAGUAUCGCCCCUUUUCUCCACGCUCCAACAAUGGGACCAUCUAUGGGAGCCGAGCGAAAACACAAAUUCCAGCUCAAAAAUAGAUUUGCCCCUCCAAACUCAAAUGGAAGCUCUGUCAUUGACCAUUGGGGAUCACCUACAUUAAUUAGAGCAGUAAUAGAGUUAGAAAAAGGGUGGAAAAUCUAGAGGAGGUUUUCAAAUGCAACCAACCUAAGCUCAAACAAACAUGGCAACCCCUUUAUUUUCUCUGCACUGCCAAAAUCUUCUAUUGAAAGAGCCUUUUGUUCCCCAAAGCAGUCAAACCAAGGCGCUGGGCUCUCUCCAAAAACUCUCUCAAAGAAACCAUGAAAGCCCUUAGAAGGACCUUGAGUGAGAGCCAAAGAGAAUCCCCCCUCUUCUCUGUGAAAUCUCCGAAAAACAAAAUACCCAAGGAAGCCCUUCACAGCUCUCCUUUGGCAUUGAAAAGAAAAUUCUGAUUUUGUUGUUACUUCAUGCUUUAAACUCUAUCUUCAGGCAUUGAAAAUGCUAGGACACACUGAGUGGAGGUAAAAAAAUGCUACACAAAUCUUAAGGGAGAUUGUAGAUACGUUUUAUAGACCUUCCUUAAAUUUCUAAACUUUAAACACCUCAACUUUCUGCUUCUCUUUUGUUAUGAUUGUUUAGAGUUAUAUUUGAUUACCAAUUUGAUUUGUAAUGCAGCCUGAGAACUAUCCCUCUGUUACACAUAAUGUCGAACAUUUCCAAACAUGUGUAAGUUGUCCAUCUAUAUCAAACCUUAGAGAAAGAGAAACCCCAUGACUUGUGAACAUUUUUCUAAUAAUUUUCUUUAAAGUAUGAAUAUGGAACAUAUCUAUAAGACUAUUAAUAUGAGGUUAUUUACUUCCCCCCUAAAGUUAUGUAGGCCAUUACAGGGCCACAAUGAUGACACAAGGCUAUAGUGCCUAUACAAGCAAGGAUGAAAAUAUUGGUAAACAAGUAUACAUCGGUCCUUGGAUUUUAUAGAUAUAUAUAGAAAUAUCUUUUGAAAAAAAAAAAAUCAAUGGAAUGGAAGUUGAUCCAAACUCAUGGAAACAUUUGGAAAAACAUUAAAAAUGAUAUAAAAAAAAUAAGAAUAAGCAUACUGAAGUUAUUUUGUAAGUGUAAUUGACAUAUUAUGGUGUAAUUUGUGAUAUUUGACAAUAAUAUCAUGUGCAUUGAUAAGAAUAUAUAAAUUUUGUAGGUGCACACUGAAUAUUAAUAAACAUUAAAUAUUUGAUUUCAUUGAAUGUCAAUAAUUUAUACAUAUUACAUUGCAAUAGUCCUUUAGUGUCAAAAUGAAGAUCGAUAGGGUUCCAUCACAUUGUUAGAUGAAGGGGAUCCCAUUUCGUUAGAGACAAUAUUGGUACCUAGACUUGAAGUUUCGAUAAUAUUGAUUAUAAGUAUGAACAUGUCGUGUAUAAAUUUCUUGAGUCCUACUCACAACCUCUCCAUGGAUAAGAAAGUUAGGGGGUCUCCCAUGUGCUCAUUUGAAAUUCUCCUUGCAUAUGAUAUGAAAUUUGGUAUGGCAUUUAUGUAGAAGGAGGAUAAUUAAACAUAUCAUACUCUUCAUCAGUUGAACUUGAAUGUAGAGGAGGUUUACCAUAGCCCAUCAACGUCAUCGUAUAAGGGGGAUAAAUAUUGACUUCAUUUGAUGAGUCACUAAAUUGAGUCCCUAUACUCAUUGACUCAAAACUGGCCUAAAAUGAGUUCUCGUUGUAAGGUGUCAUCCUUCAAUGUUUUCCCCUAUACAACUUUCUAAUGGCUCUAACACUUGAACCAACUCUUCUGGAGUCAUGGUAUUCAUCUUGUGUACAAUGCAUGAAAUUAUCUUCACAAAUGAAUGAGCUCGAUGGAUGUUUACUCUGGUGUUGUUGUCCAAUAUUCUUUCCAUCACUUCCAUAAUCAUCUCCAUCAAUGGUUCUCUCACCUGUUGAAGUAUCAUACCCAAAAGCAGAAGUACCAACACCACUAGGUCUACUACUUUGUUCAAUACUUUGGAGUCAAGGGAAAGUCAAGUAGUUACUGUUGCCUAAGAAUCGAUGGCCUGCUGAAAUGAAUCUCUCGUGUCUUUGCUAAAACUAUCACUAUGAACUUCUUCGAACAACACCCUUUCAAUAUCAACACUUACUUCUCGGGCAUGCGCGGCAAUAUGUAAGUUAAGAUUUCCGUUUUCAUCAUCUAAGUGUAGAAAUCUAAACUAUUGGAACAAUUUAUUUUCCUUUUCUUCACCAACUUUGGCUAAAAUGUCAAGUAAAUCAUGGUAAUUUAUCUCCACAACUUUAUCAUUCUCUACCUUCAUAUCAUGUAUCUUGAGUUUCAUGUUAUAAUAACAAAAAACUAAUUGUUGAAGUCUAGGGUAAGCAAGUUGAUUUCUUUGUUUUGUAUGGAUUAAAACGAAUGAGCUCCAAUGUCUCUCACAAAUUGAAGAUUAUGUAAUUUGCGAUAGAAUCUUGAUGGUUAGUUUCCUCAAUGUUGGAGUGUGAUUGCCAUACAUGAACCACUAUUCAACUACAACCAAAUAAAUGGUAUGAGUAACACUUAUGUUGGAAAUCUACAAUAAUAUGAUAAUGAAAUUUAUUUUCUAUACUGGGAACCAUUUCUGACCUGGAUGCAAUUGUUGCUCGAUCACCAAAUCCUUUCUUUACAUCUCAAAAGAACAUAAGCUACAUUUUGAAUAAUUAAAAAAUCAAAAAUUGACUAAAUGAAAUUGAAUGAAUGAAUUUGUAUUAUAACCAUAUUAAUUUACUUCAUUUUCAAAUUGAUUAAGGUCUACGGCUAUAGGGUGUAAUUCAGCAUAAACCUCAUGGAAAGCUUGAAGUAGGUCAAGAUCGUUACCAACUCUAGGUCUAUAUUGAAACCUUGGAUUGAGAAAGUAUGCUACAAUGUUAAGUAUAAUUAGUAUGUUAUGAAAGAAAAUUAAUAUUAUUAAAUACCAACAACUUUUAAAGAUGGAUAAUACUUAGUUACCUGCCAUCUGAAGUGAAUAUUUGAGUGUUUUAUUCCAAUGAUCUUUAAUGAUUUGUAACACCCAUUCUCUAGCAUUAAGUUGAACGAGGUUCUCUUUCAUCAAUUAACUCAUAGACAAAUGGCAUUAUGGGAACAACUUUUGAAUCCAUGAUUCGAAGAACCAUGUAUGGUGUCGCAUAGAUUGACACUAGCUUUGCUACUUUCUCCCAAUAUGGAUGGUCAAACAUGAGUUUUUUACCUCUUAUCUGAUUUUUGUGCAACUUAACUUAUGUUGUGUUCAUUCAUCACCGAUAAAUACUUUCUUCAAAUGAACUUUCCUUUUUAGAAGACUGUCAAGGGCAAUGUCAUUUGUUGCAAAUCUUAUUACUCUAGGGUGAAUUAUGUCUCUAGUACACAUCUUUCACAUCUACGCAAGCAAGCAACCAUGGUUGUAAAUGAAGAUUUUUUAUCUUUCAAGCCUUUGUAAUUACAUCUACAACACUAAUCUUUUACUAAUGUCUUCAAACAUUAAUUCGAUGUAGUGUGCCGCACAUGGAGUCCAAUAUAAAUCGUACUUCAUCAAUAACUUUUGAACCUUCACAAAUGUCAAACCAUUAUCCGUGACUACUUACACCACAUUUUCUCAAUCGACUUCAUUAAUCACCAACUUUAACAAACCAUAUAUGUAUUUGUUGUUCUUGAUACUAUUUAAUGCAUCCAUAUAUUUGAGAAAGAUUGUGAUGCCUUUUGAAUACCCUAUGAAAUUAAUUAUGCUUAAUUUCGUCAGCCCUAUCCAUUCGUUAGACAUUAUUAUGCAUCUAUAAGUCUUCUAGUUUUCUUUUUGAAUAUUGACAUAAGCUUCUAUGUACUUGUACUCCAUAUCCAAGUAAUAGGUGAUAUUUAAAUUGGGUGACACAACCACUCUUAAUUGUUAGACCACAAUAAUUACAUGUCAUAUCAUAUUUGUUCCCUUCCAUAUAUGUACAAUACUUUCAAGCAAGAUGUCGCCCCACCAUGCCACUUUCACCUGCUCUUGCACUUAUACUUCCACUUCCACUAGUCAUUUUCUAUACAUUGUAUUUUAAAUAGAAUAUGAAACUAAAAUUAAAUUUAAGGUAACAAAUUAAACUAUGCAAAUAUCUAACAUUGAAUAGACAAAUUACUAUAAUUUAAUUUCAAUAUGAAACUAAUUAAAAAUUAUUAAAAUUAAACAUCUAAGUUAUUCAUAAACUAUUUAACAUUACUAAUUUAAAUUGAAAUUAAACUAUGCAAAUAUAUGAUAUUUAAUAGACAAAUCACUAUGACUUAAUUUCAAUAUGAAAUUAAUUUAAAAUUAUUAAAAUUAAACAUCUAAUUUAUCCAUACACUUUAUAACAUUACUAAUUGAAAUUGAAAUUAAACUACGCAAAUAUAUGAUAUUGAAUAGAAAAAUCACUAUAAUUUAAUUUUAAUAUGAAGCUAUUUUAAAAUUAUUAAAAUCAAACAUCCAAAUUAAUUUAAUAUUAAUUGAAAUUAAAAUUAAAAUUGAAUUAUGCGUGUGUGUGUGUGUGUAUAUAUAUAUAUAUAUAUGAAAUUAUAGUCCAAUUCACUAUAAUUUAACUUCAAUAUGAAACUAAUAUUUAUUUAAAUUUAAUAUGACAUUAAUAUUAAAAUUAAUAAAACCAGACCAAUAAUUUAUUUCUUUAAAGCUAUUGAAAAUAUAGUAAUUAAGUAAUACCAAUUAAACUACAUGUAAAUUCAACUAUGCAUAAUAUAAUAUUAGUAAUUAAAAAUAAGAUUGAACUAUGCAUAUGUAAAAAUACAAUUUACUAAACGAACUUUAAAGUAUUGAUUUGCCUUGAUUUGAAGUUAAUACACAACUUCAACACCAAAUUCCCAAAAUUAAAGAAUUUUGAUAGAAAUCACAAAUAAAAAUUGACGCAAUAGAAGAUCAAGAAGUUUUCAAUUGAAUUGUAUAUGAAAUUGAAUGAAAAUUGGGUAUUUAUAGAAAAAAGCUUGGUCAAACUAGUCGUUAGAUGGUCAUAUAACCAUUGUAAUUAAAUUCUAGUCGUUAAAUCAAAGUUUGGUUAAAAUAUGGUCAUUAGAUCUUGAUCUAGCCAUUGGAAACACUUUUGAACCAUUAGAUCAAGUCAAGAUUCAUUUUCCACCCUUGGAUCACGAAUAUGACCAUUGGAUUCCUUUUAAAAAUACAAGUGAGAUCCUAGUCAUUGGAUCCUUAUCUUUCAUUUCUAGUCAUUGAUCUAAUGAAAUUAAGUUGGUGGAAAUGUCAUUGAUUUUUUGGCAAAAAAUUGUCGAUUUUUCGAAAACAUUUCACAGAUUGUUUGAGACAACAAACACACCUUGAUUGCUCUACUUUGCCAAUUAUUUCGGGGCUCAUUGAUAAAUUAGCAAUUUUUCAGUGAUAUUUAUCAAAUUUUUCCAAAACUUUCUACAUUCAAAGUUUCCAUAUCUUAUUUCAUGUUAAGCCUUGUCGAUAUCUAAUAUUUUGACGAAAAAUCCCAAAUUUUCAAACCUUGCAUAUAAUGCCAAAUUGCCCACACAAGCUAUAAAGCUCAUUACAAGGCCACAAUACCCACAUAAGGCUACAAUGCUCAUACAAGGCCAUAGGACCCACACAAGGCUAUAAUGCUCAUACAAGGCCAUAAUACCCACACAAGGCUAUAAUGCCCAUAUAAGUCCACACUACCCAUACAAGGUUAUAAAACCCAUUACAAAGCCACAAUGCCCACACUAAGCUAUAGUGCCUAUAAAGGUCGCAAUACCCACAUAAGGCUAUAGCGCCCAUAUAAGGCUAUAGCACCCACACAAGCUUAUAUGGUACACUCAAGGCCCUAAAACUUAAGGCAAUUGAGCCCAAAUAAAAUAAUAAAAUAAAAAUAAAAUAAGGCUCAAUAAAAGGGAAACCCACUUUUAGUUAAAGUAAUCCAAGGUUACGCAAAAGUUGGAUUCCAUUUCAAGGGUUUGAUGGGUAGAAGAAAUGCUUCCAAGUCAUGGAAAUAUUUGCUCUUACAUAUGUUAAAGAGAACCCCAAUAGAUUUAAUCCAUUAUUGAUGCCUUGACCUAAAUAUAUUAUGUUGGGUGAUUUGAUAUUGGUUAGGGCUUUAAGGUGCAUGUAUCUAAGAUCCUAGGUAUAAUAAAAGUGAUUAAAAAAUCAAAAUUUUAGCCUCAUAAGGUGUGUUAGAAACCAUACCUAGCGUUUAGAAAACCCAAAACCUUUUCUACAAAAUAUGUCUUCAAACCUCGUGAUCUUCCACCCAAUGAAUCCCUUUGAUCCAUGGCACUUGUGCAUAGCGGCUAUAGACUUUUUAAGAAAGAAAAAUGAAGGCUAGGUCUUUGAAAGACCAACUCUCUCAAAGAUUAGGAAAAUUAUAGUCUAAUCCUAAAAUCCAUGGGGUUUAUAUUGACUCUCCUAUAGGCUUAAGUGACUUUAACCCAACUUGAGCAUGGUUCACUUAAUAUAGCCCAUUAGGUCCUAAGUAAUUAAUUAGCCCAAAUGGACUCCAAUUAAUUAAUUAGCUCAUACAAAAAUAAUUAAUCAUAAAAUCAUAUGCAAUCUUAUCCUUUUACAAAAUUCCUUUAUGCACAUAAAUGAUUAAUUUUUCAUAAAACCUCAAAAUAAAUAAUCAUAAGUUUCAUAUAAACCUUGCACUUUUACCAAAACACUUUUACCCACAUAUAUAAUUAAAUUUAUAAUUUCCCUCAAACCUUUGUGCAAACAAAGACAGUAAGCUCGAGGGGGGACAUCUAAAACCCAUAGAAAAAUAUUGGUUCCCUUAUAAUCCAAUUUUAAAGUUGACUUAACGCUCCCUUGAAGAGAGUCAACUGCACUCCAAUAUCCUAUGUCAUUACAUCAAGAUGAGAAUUGAUUAAAUCCAAUUUAAUUAAUUCCUUCAAUCCAUAACAUAUUAUUCCUUGCAUGUAAAUUCCCCAUGAGAUGAUGUUUAUUAUCUAAUGAGGUGAAUACUAUCAACCUCUCAAGAUUACCUUUACAAUCUUCAAGUUUUAUCAAUUUUGGAUUAAAUAUUUUGUCUUGUUGUUAUUCUAAUAACACUACGAAAAAAUUAAGUAUUAUUGAUCCACUUGUAUUUACUUUUACAAUGGAUUUAAGUUAUCACAAAUUUCUAACACAUCUAUUCUAUCGCAAAUUGAAUUGUUUGUCACUUAUAUGUAACUAUUUACCGACAGUAAUUACAACAACAAAUAUCUGUCGACAAAAAUAUUAUUGUGAUGGAUUUAAACUGUUUCAAAUGUUCAACUAUAUACUUUGUCAUAAAAGCAAUUUACCUGUAAAAAAAAUGAACUUUCAUAAACAAUUUUUUCUAUAAAAAAUGCUACUCACUAAAACAAUGUUAUUAUAAUGGAUAAUAAUACCACACAAUUUGUUUCAAAAAUAAUUGUUUUUUUAUAAAUUUGAAAUCUUUCACCAUGGUUGUAUGAUAAAUAUGAUCUAGCCUGUGACAAAAUAAUUUUAUGAUUAUUUUUUUAGUUUCAUAAAAUAUUUAUAAAGAACAUAUUUUUUAAUUAUAAUAGUUUUAACAAUUUAUCUUGAAAAUAACAAAGUUAGCUUGGUGACAUGGUUGCUUUCCUUUCAAACUUGAGGUCAUGAGUUCAAUCCCCAAAAACAAUAUUCAAACCAACAUCCAAAUCUAGCAGUGUUGUGGCUAGCCAACAACCAAGUCAAUAUCCAAAACUAGCAAGAACUAGCAAAGAGUGUAACAAGAUGCUCCAUGUGAAUGUAACGAAAUUGAGAUUUCAUGACAAUCUAAAAUAUUUUAAUAUUUACAUUUCCCAACCAACUUAACACGUUGGUAAUAGUGAUGGUUCAAAUCUAUUGAAUAGUUGGUUGCUAAUUUUUUUUUAUUGGCAACGGAAAAUUCUCAUCGAUAAACUUUUGCUAACACACCUUUCCCCAAAUACCAUGCAUCGGGAUUAUCUAUUGGUAAAUGUUUAUUCUGACAAUGUAAAACAGUCGGGAAAAGUAAAAUUUCUUAUAGUGUAUGAUCACAUUGAUUUUUUUUUUUAUGUGACAACAUUAUUAAAUACUAGCAAAAAAUGGUGUAUAGAAUUCUAUAGGAAAAAAAUUAGAGAACAAAUUUAAAUGUUCAAACUAUAAUUUGAAGCAGUUCAACCUUUUUGUGUUGUGGAGGUAAUUAACAUGAAAUUAUCAAUUAGUUUUAUCUAGAUUACAAUUUAAAGAAUUUGAAAUAUGUAGGGAAAUUCUAGAUCAUAUUUGCGACAAGAGAUAUUGUGAUAUGUACACAUAUAUUAGAAUAUCAUUUGUUACGAGAAUAUUAUAUCUAAAGUAGUUAAGAUCAUAUGAUAGAUAUGUUAUGUUAUGUUGUUUAGUUUAUAAAAAAAAUAAAAAAAUGUAAUAGAAAAUAUAUUAUAUUCCAAUAUUUUUUUUUGUUUUUUUAUAACAAAAAUACAUUGUAUAUCAAUGUUUAAUAUUAAAAAUAUAUAAAAUUUUAUAAUUUUCAGUAUCUUUUAUAAUCUUUUUAUGAUUUAUAUUUUAAUACCUAUUUCACCUAUUUUAUUUAUUUACUAAAUGAUAUUAUAAAUUGAAGUUUUUAUUAAUAAUGUGCAAAACUUAUGCAUAUGAUAGAAAUUUCUUUUUUCUUUUUUCUAUUUCUCUUUAAAUAUUGAUUGAUAAUUAAAAUAUCAUAAGCUUUAUUUUUUUCUCAACUUUGCAUAUUUUUAAAUUUUUUAUUUUUUAUUGUAAUUAAUAUUGAAAAUUACAAUCUAAUCUUUCAAAUUUAGAUCAAUCCCUUAACACAUGAAUGUAAUACAUGUAAUAAAUGUACCAUAGGUGUGCAACCCAUAUAUACUAUAGUGUAAUAGGUUGAUUGAUCUCAUAACACACAUGAAUGUAAUACACGUGUAAUGAAUGUGCAAUACUUCUCCAACUAACAUACGCCCUAAUUCAAUAGAUUGAUUGAACGUAUGAUAAUCGAAAUAAACGAAAAAAAAAAAAUCAAGCCUUGAUAAGAAAAGGAAAUAAAAAAAUAACAAUCAUAUCAUCAAAUGAAAACACCUUGUCUGCUUAGCACUCCAUUUUAGAAUUUGCACAUUUUUGUUAGUUUUUUAACUUUUAUUUUAUUUUACUUUUAAAUUAGGAGUCAUAUUUUAUUUAUAUGUUAUAUUUGAUAUUUUGAUAAUACAUUUAGAUUUGUAAGUUAAAUACUUAACUAUUAAAUUCAUAAUUUGUAUUAUAUAAGAUAUUUCAUAUUAAAAUAGUUUUUUGAUUAAACACGUAUUGUUGUAAAAAAAAAAUUAUUAGUUAAUUAUUUAGUAUCUUUUAAUUCUUUAAAAAAAUUAGUAUUUUAAAUGUUAUGAGUCCACUUUAUCUAAUAUUUUAUUUUUGUGACAAUUUUACAAGGGUUCAAGGAAAAAGAUUCAAAGCAAAAGAUAUUUUAUUUGAGAACAUCAAAGUUAAUCAAGUAAUAAUGUUGCAUUGAAAAAUUCAAAGGAUUAGUUCAUAUUUCAUAGAUGCAGUUUCAUGUCACAACAAGCCUCCAUUCAUAGUGAUAAUGUGUGGUAAGAACUCUACUAUGAUUGUCAUAUUAAUGGUUCACAUUACGUGGUUUAUGGAUAGAUGGACAUACCUCAUUCCAAAAAAGUACUAUCCAUGUAAAUAACUUUGAGCACAACAUGAAAGAAGAAGCGGCAUAAGAAUUGGUGGUAGUUUUGUAUUUCAUUCAUGUACAUGUUUUGUUAGCACCCAAAAAGCAAUCAAUUAUUUAGGAGCUCAUUCUAGACCUUUUUAUUGGAUUGUAACUAUGCAAUCAUCCUUAGAUUGAUUAGUCUUUUAGGAUGGUUGGUAGAUAACAAAAGUUAGACUAAAAUGAUCAUCCCCUAAUUUCCACUUUAUCUAAAGUCCCGAUGCAUCUUUUUUUCACUAUUAAAAACUUUUUAAAUAGUAUUGUUUGGUUGUUAUGUAAAGGCAUAUCUUGUAAUUUGGAUUUGGUACAAACUCUUAUUACUAUUUAUUGUAAUACACGAUUGUUAUUUUGUGUAUUGCAAGAUAAAUUUCAUGAAUUAGAAUGCUCUAUUUUCAAUUUAGAAUACUUCAUUUCCUUUGAAUGCUUAUGAAUGAACUGUAAAAUUUCUUUUGCCAAAAAAGGGUUAGGAUUUUAGGAUAGAGGAAGUUCAUGGUUUUUGAUAAGUGAUAACUUUCCAAUUAAUGAGAUGAGCAAAUACUACUACAUGUUAAAGGUAUAUUUCCAAUUACCUUAUCAUUUCUUUGUGAGCAAGUAUGUUUGGUUAAAUGAGGUAUUGUUUGGUUGUUAUGUAAAGGCAUACCUUGUAAUUUGGAUUUGGUACGAACUCUUAUUACUAUUUAUUGUAAUACAUGAUUGUUAUUUUGUGUAUUGCAAGAUAAAUUUCAUGGAUUAGAAUGCUCUAUUUUCAAUUUAGAAUACUUCAUUUCCUUUUGAAUGCUCAUGAAUGAACUAUAACAUUUCUUUUGCCAAAAAGGGGUUAGGAUUUUAGGAUAGAGGAAGUUCAUGGUUUUUGAUAAGUGAUAACUUUCCUAUUAAUGAGAUGAGCAAGUACUACUUCAUAUAAUUUUAUAUCAUUUUGUCUGCGUGAGAAAAAAAAUGUUUGAAUAAUACAUUAUUGGACUCAUUAACUAAAUAAGUAUGUGAAAAUAUUUCAUAUAUUUGACUUAAUAGCACACAAAAAAUGAUAAGAAAAUAAUGAUUGAAUUUUUCUCCUAUGAGCUAGGAAAAAAUGUGAAUAUACUAAUAAAAAGAAAAAAUAUAUCAAAAGUCUACAACUAAAUGUAUCCUACCUUGUUGAUUACUUAUGCUAUCAUUACCUAUCUUUUAGUUGAUCAAAUUGAUAAAUACAAGUCUUAUUUUAAGUUACUUGGUUACUAAAUUAAAGUUCUUAUUAUGGUUGACCUAUAUAUAGCAAUUUUCAUUUCUCUAUUAAUUAAAAAUGAUUUAUUUAUCUUCUAAUUGUUUAAAGGCCAACAUAUGUAGAAGAAAUGGGAAAUUUUUAUUCUCUCUAUUAACUAGGAUGAUAUAUCUAGUUUAUUCUAUUACUUAUUAUUUGAGAUAAUUCCAUAAUGAUCAUCUUACAAUUAGGUGUGUGUAGGCAGAUCAAAUUGGAGAUGGAAAUCAAAAGGAUUGACUAAUGAGUAUCAUCUCAAAUGUCGUUACCUUUGAUAUUCACUAACAUGCAAAAUAUUUAGUCAUUUAUUCUUUUACUUUUCUAUUUUUUUUACGUACAAUGAUGUUAAUCACUUUUGCAAUGUAUUACAUAUAAACUUAAGUAUCAUUUCUAGCUUGAUUUUUUUAUAUCUACUCAAACUCAAGCUUCUUCAUGAGUUCGAUUAGACUAAUGAAUUAGGUAGUAUAGAUGUGUAUUUCUCACAUUUAGUUAACUUCUAUUACUUCUUUACUCUCUUGUGCUUCUUUCUUUUUGUUUUAUGCCUUUGCAUGUGCUGAUAUUUAUAUUUGACAACUAUAUAUUAUUUCCCUAUCUACUAUGGAAAAUUUUUGUUUGCUUUCCUUAGAGGUUUCUUUAAUGCCAUAUAGAGGACUAUGACAUGAAUGAAAAUUGAAACCUAAUAUGACCUAAAUAGUUUAAGAGAAGCAAAAUGUGGGGUUCUGAUAACCAUUAAGUCCAUGGCUAGUAUCAAAGCCUUCAAUUCUCUAUUGGAAUUUAUCUUGUCUUUUAUGCUACUAUUUUGGAUUUUUGGUGUUAUAUUCUCCCCAAACUUAGUCUAUUAACCUAUGUACUUUUAUUUUUAUGGAUGAUUUAUUUUUAAAAUAGCUACAACUAUUACUCAUGUCAUUUGUAAUAUUAAAUCUAUUAUUUAUUUUAUAAUAUGUGAAAUUUGGCAUUUUUCUUUACUAUAGUUCUAUUGACUUCUAUCUAGGAACUAGGGGAAAUAGAAUGGUCAAAUGGUUAAUGGUCGGUAUGCAUCUCAUUUUUCUUCAAAGAGUAGUAUUUCAUAAAUCAUGACACUCUAAGCAAAAAGUAAAUUGGACCCAUGCAUUAUAGGAACCUUAUCUUAUAAGAAUGGUUUGUUAUGUAAAUUCUUUAUUUAUCCAUUAAAUGUCCAUAACAAAAAAAAAAAUUUUUGUUAUAAUUGCUUGUAUUUGUUGCAAGUUGCUAAUGUGAUAAGAAUUGUUAAUUAACAUGCUUUGAGAGUUAUCUGAUUGAUAUAAAUUAUUUAUCAUGUGCAUGUGUAUGAGAUGUAGAUAUGAUUAGGAAUCAACUCAUGUAUCUAAAAAUUAGAUAGGCUAUGAUUGCACAACAGGAAAGAAAAAACAACAUAAGAAUUAGUGGUAGGUUUGUAUUUUAUUUAUAUACAUUUUCCGCAAGCACCUAAAAAGCAAUUAAUUACUUAGGGAUACAUCUAGACCUUUAUAUUUUAUUGUAGUUAUGCAAUCAUCUUUAGAAAUAUUGAUUACUCCUUCAGGAUGGUUGGUGGAGAACAAGAACUAGACUAGAACAAUGAUCCCCUUGUUUCCAUCUUAUGAAAAGCUUCAAUGAUGAAUUUUCUUAUCAUUAGACACUUUUUAAAUAGUAUUACGCUAUUAUGUAAAUACAUAUCCUGUAAUUUGGAUUUGGUAUGAACUUUAGUUACUAAAUGUAAUAAAGAUUAUUAAUGUGUAUUAGAGUUAGCUUUCAUGGAUUAUAAUGCUCUAUUUUCAAUUUAGAAUGCUAUGUCAUUUCCUUUGAAUGUUCACUAAUGAACCAUUAUUGCUGCCAAAAUUUAAUAUAAUGUUUUAUAGCAUAGAUUUAAUGAUUUGUAUGUGAUCAAUUAUACACAUUAUUUUCUGAGAAUUGUUGGUGUUCAAUACAUGAAAAUUUGAUAAAAAUUUAGUGUUUUUUGUUAGAUAUUAUUGUUUUAAAAUUUUGUAUUUGUUUUAAAUCGCUAACUCCAAUAGAUCAUAAGAAAAAACACACACUUUUGCUCCUAUUGAGAAAUAAUGAGAUGAGAGAUGUCAAAAUUAAAAAUUAUAUCCACAAGUCCAACAUUAGAACCUAUUGAAAAAUCAAUUCAUGAGCUAGAAAUAGGUACUACAUAUUUGGCUUAAUGAAUACCUGAUGUGAAAUCUUUUCAAUUUUAGAUUGAAUAUUUUGUCUGCAUUUGUUGUUAUACUAAUCUAACUAUGUUAAUGAUUUUAUAUAGGACAACAUUAUUGAAUGCUAAUAGAAUAUGAUAUAUAACAUUUUAUAGAAAAAAACUAGAGAAGAAAUUCAUAUGUUCAAAUUGUAUAUAAAGCAAUUUAACCUUUUAUGUCAUUGAGGUAAUUAACAUUAAAUUAUCAAUUAACUAUAUCUAAAUUCAAAUAAUUUGGAAUAUUUGAGGAAUUCUACACCAAAGAUAUAUUAUAUGUUUGGUUUGUGAAAAGAAUGAAAAAUGUGAUAGAAAAUAUAUUAUAUUCUAAUAUUUGUUAUUUUUUUAUAAUAAAAAUAUAUCACAUUUCAAUGUUGAUAUUAGAAAAUAUAAAAGAAAAAAAUUGUGUUUAGUAAUUUUUAUAAUAUUUCUACAAUUUAUAUUUUAAUACAUAUUUUACCUAUUUUUAUUUAUUUACUAAUUGAUGUAAUAAAUUUAAAUUAUUUGUUUAUAAUGUGCAAUACUUGUACAUAUGAUACAAUUUUUUUUUUUUUUACUUUUAUGUUGAUUUAUAAUUAAAAUAUUAUAAGCUUUAUUAUUUAUCUGCUUUACAUACUUUUAAAUUAUUUCAUUUUUAUUAUAAUUCAUAUCAUAAAUUAUAAUCCAAUUAUAAAAAAUUUACUAUUUUUCAUUUUGUAUAAUAUAAAAAUUAGAACAAGUCAAGACAUGUGUGAAUAUCUAAAAUACCCCUUAAAAAAUCAUCAACUUAACAUAAUGUGCAAUAAACGUGCACCCACAUGAAAUAAAAUUCAAUAGGUUGAUCUCUAAAUAUAUAUGUUAUGAAUGUAACGCACAUAUAAUUAAUGUGAAAUAAAUGUACAACCUACAUGCACUAUGAUGUUUUAUAUCCAUCUAUGAAUGCAAAAAAAAGUGUGAACAUAAUAAUAGAAAGAAACAAAAAAAAAAAUUCACAAUCACAUCAUCAAAUGGGAAUGUCUUGUCUACUGAGUGUGUCAUUCUAAAACUUGCAGUUCUUGAUGGGUUUAUUAACUUUUACAUUAUUUUACUUUUAAAUUAUGAGUCAUAUUUUAUUUUAUAUCUUGUAUUUGAUAUUUUGAUAUUACAUUUAUAUUUUUAUUUUAUAUACUUAGCUAUUAAAUUCAUAGUUUAUAUUAUAAAAAUGUCAUAUUAAAUACUUAGUUUAUGGAGAUGAAUAUGCCCUGUUUCAAGAAAGUACUAUCUUCAUAAAUAACUUUGAGUCAAUGAUUGAGGUUAUGAUAGUACUAUAGAAAUAACAUAAAAGUUGGUAAUCAUUUUAUAUUUCAUUUAUCUAAAUUUUCCACUAGCACCCAAAAAGCAAUCAAUUACUUAGGUGCUCGUUCUAAACCUUCAUUUUUUAUUAUAAUUAUGCAAUCAUACUUAGAUAGAUUGAUUAAUCCUUCAUGAUGAUUAGUGGAGUAUGGUACAACUUCUAUUUAUUUUGGUAAAUACUAAAAUACAGGUCUAGAAGAUAGACUAGAAUGAUUUACUAAUUUCUACCUUAUCAAAGCUUUCAUCAUGUUUUUUUUUUUUACUAUUAACUACUUUUAAAUAGUACUACUUGGUUGUUAAGUAAAACAUUUAUUGUAAUUUAGAUUUAAUAUGAACUUUAGUUACUACUUGAUGUAAUAAUUAUUAUUAAUAUGUAUAUUAGGGUUAGCUUUCAUGGAUUAGAAUGUUGUGUUUUUGGUUUAGAAUAUUACGUCAUUUCCUUUCAAUGCUCACUAAUAAAUUGUAACAUUUCUUUUGUUGUCAAAAUUUAAUGUGAUAUUUAUACGAUGAAUACAAUUAUUUGUAUAUGAUUAAUUCUACAUUUAUUAUUUCCUGAGAAUAGUUUGAGGCCAAUAUAUGAAAAAAUUUGAUAAAAUUUGUAUUUAUCAAAUGCCCUAGUGAUGCAUUUUUUUUUUACUACUUAACGCUUUUUUAAAUAGUACUAUUUGAUUUUUAUGUAAAGAUAUGCCUUGUAAUUUGGAUUUUGUAUGAAACUUAGUUACUACUUGAUAUAAUAAUGUCACGGAUUAUAAUGUUCUAUUUUUUAGUUUAGAAUGUGAUGAAGUAGAAGCGUAGAAUAAAUUUGUAGUUCGUUGAUUCAUGUAAAAUACCAUAAAAUAAUUAUGCAAGUAAUUUGUUGAUCCAAAGAAUAUCGAAAAAAAAAUGAAGAAGGGGUCAUGAAUUGACCAUAGAACCCUAUUCAAUAAGUGGAACACAUUAGUUGUCCAUAAUUACUGAAAUUUUUAUUGAAAAAAUCACUAUUGCAUCACAAUCCUCUCAAUCCUUUUUAAAUAAACCAUUUAAAAUUCAAACUAAAAGAAAUUGGAAAAGGAAACCUAUCCUACGUUAAGUAAAAUAAAGGUAAUUAUCUCUAUCUAAAAUUGAAAAAGAAAAAAUAAAAAAAAUAAACUUAAUUCCUAUCUAUAUGUGUUGCAUUAAUUUCACCAAGUAGGAAAAGAUUCGACCUUGAACGUUGUUAUCUCUAGAAAAAUGUUGUUAUUUGUUAGUUUUUAUAAUAUAAAUAUAUUGCAUCUCAAUGUUUGAUAUUAGAAAAAUAUAAAAUUUUAUCAUAUGUAGUAUUUUUUAUAAUCUUUCUAUAAUUUACAUUUUAAUACUAUUUUUUUUAUUAAAUGAUAUUAUAAAUUGAAUUUAUUUAUUUAGCACGUGCAAAACUUGUGCAUAUGAUAUAAUUUUUUUUUUCUUGCAUGUUGAUUGAUAAUUAAAAUAUUUGCUUUUUAUCAAUGUUUUCAGAACCGGACUGGUGAUUGAACCGGAAAAGUUACCGGUUCACGGUUCACUAGUCGAACCGGCGGUCGAACCACGGUCGAACCAGUGAUGUCAUAAAUAUAUAAUUUAUAUAUUAUUAAAAUUAAAAAUAAUUAUAAAAAUUUUAAAAUAUAUAUGAAUAAAUUAAACAUCAAUAAUAUUAUUUUAUAUCUUUGAUAUUAUCAAAUUAAAUCAUAUUAAUAUUUUAAAUUUUAUCAAAUGAAAUAUGUAUAAUAUUUAAAUGUGAAUAUAUAAAAAAUGAAAAUUUAAACUAAUUUCAUAAUUUUUAAAAAUAUUAUAUUAUUUUUAUUUAAUAUUAUAAAAAAAUUUUAAAAUUUAAUAUAUAUUGUUUUGUUUGGCAUAUUAGAUAUCAAAAUGCAUGUAGUCGAGUGGUGUCCUAGGUAGACUACAACCGAGGUGGUCCAAGGUUCAAACCGAGAUUUGUUAUGUUUUUUUUAUAUUUAGCAAUCCCACAUCGGAAAAUAAGAGGAAUAAGGAGUCAAAUGACUCCUAUAAAAGCCAUCCUCGGCAAGGGCAUUUCAUAAUCUUGUGGGCUCAAGACUCAGCCCAUAGUGAUUAAAGUGGGUGUAUGGGCUCUGUCAUAUGACAUGCCCAACAUGGGCUUUAGUAAAAACCAUUUAAAUUCUAUGGAAUCCCUUCUUCCAUGCUUACAAAAUGAGGGGUAAUUUGAAUCAUUCGAUUCGUUUAGAACCAUCCGGUUCCACCGGGUUACCGGUUCGACCACUGGUUUAGGCGAUUCGUGGCCGGUCCAAUACCCAAGUGGUUAAAAAGGGUAAAUCGGACCGAAAAUGCAACCGAUUGAGGGUUGAACUGGUUGGACUGGCCGGUCCGGUCUGGUUUUUAAAACAUUGAUUUUUAUAUGUUUAUAAUAUUUAAUUUUUGUUGUAACUCAUUGUAGACCCCCUCCCGGGGAGGAGGAGUUUUUGGCCAUUUUUAUUUUACUAUCAUGAUUACUCUUCUGACCACCCCGGGAAUUAGGCUGAUGGGGGCAGCCAGAUUAGACGGAAUGCAAAGAGUAGGUGAGGGUUGGGAAUAAAAAGAGCGGGAAAAGGAAAGAGCUAAGAGAAGGGAUUUUUUUUUUAGAGAAAGGGCAGAACGAGAGGGCUGAUGGGGGGCGUCUGAAAUUUUUUUUGGGUCCGAAGCUGGGGAGAAACACGGGCCUGCAGGCUGGGAAGAGAGCUGGGGCAUCUGCAAUUUUUUUGGGUCCGAAGCUAGGGAGAAAAAUGGAGGAUGGCUCGAGGAGAAGAGGUUUGAAGAAGUGACAAAAGAGAGAUUUGUGAGAGAGUAGAAAUGGGCGUCUCAAGCUGAGUUGAGGAGGAGUUUGAAGCUUCGGUCCAGGUAAGAUUUCUGCAUGUUUUACAUACCUCACUUCAGUUUGCUUUAUUCUAUUUCUUGUUAAUUUCGGUUCCUGCUUGGUGCUUAUUAUAUGGAUAGCGAGACAUAUGAUGCGUUAGAGAGCGUGUGUAUUGGAUUGAGAUCAAUUAAAGGGGUGGAAAAGAUGUCCAAUUAUAUGAUCAGUAGUGGGUUUGGUCCGGAUGAGUAUUUGGGGAACAAGUUCUUGUUGAUGCAAGUAAAAUACGGGAUGAGGAUUGAUGCACACGGACUGUUUGAUGAAAUGCCAAUAAAGAAUAUUUUAUAGUUUUUUUAACACCCCUACACAUGAUUCUCCCAUUCAUAUCAUAUUUGCUUCAAAUCCCGGAAGCGACCCCCACUAGCGACGUUGAGCCGAAGCUCCUCGCCGUCGGCGACGAGGAGAAUGACAGGCUGCAAGCUUGCAUGGGGAGGUGCCUACAGCUGCUAUUGGUCUUGGAGGUUUGGGCCACCAUGCUAGUGGAUUUGGGCCUGAGAUGAAGCCCCAAACCCAAAUAUGAUGGUGAAAAGGCUUGGGUCCUUUUGCUAAUGGAUGUGGGCUUGGGAUGAAGCCCAAAUCCAAGCUUGAUGAUGGAAGGCCCCCAUGAUUUGUCCAUCCACUUUAAGAUCGGCCCAUACUCAUUUCAAGCUGGCCCAUCUGGUUGUUUCCACCUUAUAUAGUUCACUUUCUCUAAAUCACUCAUUUCUCAAUAAACUCUCUAAUUUCUAAUUUCCAAGCCCAACUUACAAAAAUUCAAUCUUCAAAUGAAACUUCAAAAUUCAGAUUUUUAACAUUUAAUUCCAAUUUCCGAAUUCUCAUAUUCCCAUUAAUUUAUUUGAUCAUUAGUAUUUCAUUUAUUUAUUUCAAAGCUUCAUUCUAAAUCAAAUUCUUCUAAAACUUCUGAUUACCGAAUUAAAUUUCAAAAAUUCCAAUAUUCACAUUAAUCUAUUUAAUUAUUAUUAUUUUAUUUAUUUAUUCUAAAAUUCCAUUUUAAACAAUUCAUUAAAAUUUCCACUUCCGAUUUUAAUUUCUAAUUCCAAAAAUUCCAACAUUCACAUUAAUCUAUUUAAUUAUUAUUAUUUUAUUUAUUUAUUCUAAAAUUCCAUUUUAAACAAUUCAUUAAAAUUUCCACUUCCGAUUUAAUUUCUAAUUCCAAAAUUCCAAAAUUCACAUUAAUCUAUUUAAUUAUUAUUAUUUUAGUUAUUUAUUUUGAAAUUCCAUUUUAAACAAUUCUUCAAAUUUCCAAUUUCUGAACUUAAUUUUCGAUUUCCAAAACUCUAAUUUUUUUCAAAUUUAAUAUCCAAAAUUCAAAUUCUUAAAUUUAAUUUUUCAAGAUUCCAAUCUUUAAAUAAUUUUCGAGACUCUAAUUUCCAAAUAAAUCUCAAAAAUCCAGUUUUCUCUCGAAUAGCUUUAAUUCCACUCCGAUUUUUAAAUAAUGUUCUAUUUUUUUUUUAUUUUUACACAAGCAAGAAUGAUGAGUCUUCAUAAUUCCGAAAUAAUGGGAUUCGCGAGAUUAAUUCAAGCAAGAUCAAUCGGGCUUUGGUGGGGGCCCCACAUAUGUGAUUUUAUGACUGACUGAUUGAUUAAUUGAUUUAUUUACCAUGCUUGUUUGAUUUAUUCUGUUCGUUGACAUGCGCAUAAUUUUAUCUAUUCGUCAUUCACUAAUCCUGUUUCAUGAUAGCACAUUCGUGACUGGAGGACCAGGUACGCAUCCACUCAUAUUUUGUUCAUUCUUUAUACAUGCUCUGCUUCCCACGUCGUGCAUGAUUAAGGUGAGUAUCCAUUGACUUUCUCAUUGGUUGCCACGUCAGCUUCAUUCUAUUAGUAGAGACCCGAUUUCAUGGACUUAGAGGGGUGCUACGGUUCAUACCAUACCUUCCCGAUAAGUAACCUGACCCCCGAGCCCGAUCCGGUUUUUUAUAGACCACCUUUUCCAGAAUAAGGAGUCACACUUAGGGUUUUUCUUAUUUUGUUUAUCCUUUUUUAAAAAUAAAACAAAAAUAAGUGGCGACUCCAAGUCAGAUUUUUAAUGAAUAAAAAUCAUUUUUUUAAAAUAAAAAUCGAGUUCGCCAUCGAGUGGGAAACGCAUUGAGCCAAAAUGCGAGGUCCACACUCAUAAAAAAUUAUAAUUGAAAUAUCAAAAUUUUAAUAUUUGUUACUUUAUAUAACAUAAAAAUUAUGACAAAUUAAUACAUAUGUAGAGUACUAAAAUAUCCCUUAAAAUUCAUAAACUUUACACACAUGUAAUGAAUAUGCAUUAUAGGUGCAACCCAUAUGCGUGCAAUGUCCGUAUAACCCAUAUGCAAUGUACAAUAUAACUAAUAUAGAAAAUAGUAUAUCAUGAAAGAAUAAUAAUAGAAAAAACUAAAAAAAUCUAGACUUGAUAAGAAAAUGAAUCAACAAGACAAACAUAUCAUUAAAUGGAAGCUUCUUAUCCAUUGGAUGUUUAAUUUUAAAACUUUCAACUAUUUAUAAGUUUUUUAACUUUUAUUUUAUUUUACUUUUAAAUUAGGAUUCAUAUUUUAUUUUAUAUCUUGUAUUUGACAUUUUAAUAUUACAUUUAUAUUUUAACAUUAUAUACUUAACUAUUAAGUUUAUAGUUUAUAUAUAUAUAUAUAUACAAAGAUAUUUCAUAUGAAAAUAGUUUUAUGGCUCAAAAAUAUUAUUGUAAAAUAUUUAUAUUCGUUAAUUAUUUAUUGUAUUUUAAUUAUUUAAUUUUUUUUUAGUAUUUUAAAUGUUAUGAGUCUACUUCAUCUUAUAUUUUAAUUUAUGACAAUUUUAAUUUUAAAUAUUUCAUUUGAGAAUAUGGAAGCUAAUCAAGUAGAGGUGUUGCAUUGAAAAAUUGAUGGGAUCAAUCCAUCUAUCAUAGAUGCAGUUUCAGGUCACAAUGAUCCUCCAUUCAUAGUGAUUAUGUUGGGCAACAACUCUAUCAUAAUUGAUAUAUCUAUUGUUUUCAGUAUAUAAUUUAUGGAGUUGGACAUGUGUUAUUCCAAAACAAAAAACAAAAAACAAAAAUUUAUAUAAAUAACUUGAAGCCAAGGUUAAGGGUUGUGAUUGCACCAUAAGAAAGAAGAAGCAAUAUAAGAGUUGAUGACGACAUUAUAUUUCAUUUAUGUACAUUUUCUACUAGUGCCUAUAAAGUAAUUAAUUACUUAGAUGUUCCUUCUUGACCUUUGUUUACAUCUCAAAAUUAUAUUCUUGUUGUCAAUUAGCACCUAAGUGCAAAGACUUUAAAUUGAUAAUACUUUAAAAGUAUCCUAAUAGUCAAUCCCAAAGAAAGUGACGGAGAAAUCAGUUUAAAAAAGAGAUAAAAUGCAAGUAUUAGAGGUUAAUUAAUAAGUUGGGAUAUAAUCAAAUUGAGUAGGUGAAGUAUAAACUAUUGUAGAAUUCAUUUUAACCAUUUCCUUCUAUAUUUAAAACAUAUCAAAAUCAAAAUCAAAUACAUAUGUAGCCAAAUAAACAAUUUCUACCAACAUAUAAAAUGUCAUUUUAAUUCAUGCACGAACGAAAGGUAAACCCUACUUGUAAGCUAACUUAUUGAAUUCAAAAAAGCAAAGAAGUGUUUUGAGAGAGAAACGAAGAACAACAGUGCAAAGAAGAAUAGAAAGAGAAAAAAAUGUCUAAAAUAUAUAUCUUAUUUCUGUCUUUUUUUUUUUUUUUUUGCAUAUAUUUAUAUAUGAGAGAGUAUAACUAAAUUUUUUUUGUUGUAACUACAUUUGGUGUAUAUGGACCUACUUUUGUUUUGAGCUUGUGAGUUGGUGCUUUACAUGUGAGGCUAAGGGAUGCUUCUAGAAUUAUUCUCAACACUUCCCCGCAAGCAUAACUGCCAGUCACACACAAUAACCUUGGACCUCAGAAUUUCAAAUAAUUUUGUGUAACUGAUUUUGUGAGCAUAUCAACAAUCUGAUCUACAAUGGGUACAAACCUCACUUCAAACUCUUUCCGACCCACCUUCUCCCGUAUGAAGUGUACAUCAAUCUCCAUAUGUCUCGUUCAAGAAUGAUAUACAGGAUUAUCAACCAAAAUUGUUACUCCAAGAUUGUCACACUAGACAACUGCACUUUGUGGUAGUGAUAUGCUCAACUCACUUGAUAGGGAUUGCAACCAAGUUAUGUUUGCUACUACUUGAGCUAAAGCUUUAUAUUCAAACUCAGUGCUUGAAUGAGUCACAACUCUUUUUUUUUUUUUUUUUUUUAAACCCAUAAAAUCAUAUUGCCACAAAAAAAAAAAAAAAAAAAGUAUGUAGUAGCCACCAAUGGAAUAUCACUCAUCGGUAUCACUCUCCCAAUCAACAUUUGAAUAGGCAAUGAGAUCAAAAGAAGUUGGGCAAAAAAAAAAAAACCAAAGGUGGAAGUGCCUUUUAGAUAACACAAUACACGCAUGCAAGCUUGUCAAUCAAAUAGAGUAGAUUGUUAUAGAUAUUGAUUGACUAUAUUGACAAUAUAAGAAAGUUGUGAUUAUGAUAUAUUAGAGAGCAUUGAUGGUACUACAAUAAAGAGUAGGAUUAUCAAAAGGAGCAUUGUCUAUAUAACUCAAUUUCCUUCUUAGGUUGCUAGAGUAAGAGCAAGCUUGCCACCAAACAUUUUGCUACAUUACAACAAAUCAUGGAUGUAACAAAACUGACAUAAGUGAAGGCCAGAUGAUGUCCAAAGAGCUUAUAUACCAAGAAAAAAAAUAUAAGGAGCCAAGUCGCUUCAAAGAAAUUAAAUUGUUGAUGCAAAUGAUCAAUGAGAGUGUUAAUGACAAAGGGAUGACUGCUAGUGACAAGGAUGUCAUAUGUUGGAUAUUUUGGUAAUUAUGGGCCUACUUAUUAACACAUUAUACAUUAAAUUAUCUUGUUUUUGGGUCUAAUUAAAUGCAAUCAAUUAAGUUGAUGAUGGGCCUUUAAAGCAUCUCUAUAUAUAUAAACUAUAUGGGCUUUGCAAUGUGUAGAGACCAAUUUUAUUUUAUUUAUUAAUGAUGGGCCGAUAAAUAAAAUAAAAUAAUAAAGGGUAUAAAUAGGGUUAUGGUCCCCAGUUUAAACGAGGAUAUAAAAAAAAUUAUUUGUUAUUCACAUCUCAUCAAUGAGUGAUUUGAGGCUACAAUACUCGUUUCAAACAUAGAAGACAAGACCCAAGUACAUAAUCUCAAUGGAUUCAAGUAUGUCUUUCGAUAUUAUUAUCCCAUAGAUUUAACAUGAGAUUUUGAUGUAUCUAUUGUCUAAAUGAUUAGUUUCUAUAAUCAUUCUAUAUGAUUUGUGAUUCUCCAACAUCAUCAACCUAAAGAAGAAACAAAAUCAACAUGGAGCCCUUGUGAAGAAUGAACAAGGAUGUGUUAGCUUGGGAAUUCCAAAAACCAAAAUGGAGGAGACAAUUCCUCAAUCGUUCAUAGCAAGCACAAGGGGCCUAGUCAAGGCCAUAUAAGGCUUUUCGAAGCUGACAAACAUGGGUGGGCUUGGUGACAUCAACAAACCGCUUCAAUUGUUUCAUAGACAUAUUCAUGGAGCCAUCUACGAAGGAAAGCAUUGUUAACAUUUAAUUGUUGGAUGUCCUAGCCAUGAGUAACAACAAGACUUAAGAUAAUGCAAAUGGUAGAAAGAUUGAUGAUAGGAACAAAAGUGGCAGAGAAGUCAACCCCAAGUGUUUGAUGAAACCUCUUAGCCAUAAGCUUGACCUUAUAGUGCUAAAUAGAACCAUUCGAAUUAAGUUUCAACUUAAAAACCCACUUAUCCCCAAUGACUUUCAUUUGAGGUGAGCAAAGAACAAGAGACCAAAUUUGGUUCUGAGUUAAGAUAUCAAAUUUUGACACCAUCCAAAUUAAGUUACAACUUAAAAACCCACUUACUCCCAAUAACUUUCAUCUGAGGUGAGCAAGGAAUGAGAGACCAAGUUUGGUUUUGAGUUAAGGUAUUAAAUUUUGACUACAUAACUUGUUUCCAUAGAGGAUGAGAUAAAGUUUCGACAAUAGAAGAGGGUUUAAGUGAAUGGGAAGAAGUAGGAAGGGUAGUGAGAAAGGAAAGUUUAGGUUUGAAUAUGCCUGACUUGGAAUGUGUUUGCAUAUGAUGGGAAACAGAUUAAAGAUACGAUGACACAAGGGAUAAAGGAAGAGAGAGAGAGAGAGAGGUCGUAGUAGAGAAUGGGGUGGGAGAAUGAAGAGUUGGGCUAGUAGAUACAUGGUAAGUAGGGAUGCAAAGUGAAGAAACAAUGGGAACUUGGGAAACCUAGUAUGCACCAUGAUCAAUCAAGAAAAAGCUUGGAGAGGAAGACAAGAGGGAGACCUAAGAGAAGUGUGUGAGGUAGGCGAGGAAAAAAUAGUAGACACAUUGAUAUGAUGAUGUUGAAACUUAAAAUUAUAGGGAAAAGGGAAAUUAGUUUCAUUAAACACAAUAUAAGUAAUAUAAGCUUGACCAAAAGAAUCAUGACAUUUAUACCUCUUGUGGACAUCACUAUACCCAAUGAAAACACAUUUUUUAGUGUGAAAAGAAAACUUAUGGGUGUCAUAAGCAUGAAGGUUGGGAAAACAAGUGUAACCAAAGCUUUUAAGGAAAACAUAAUCAGGAAGGGUGCCAAAGAGUUUAUGAUAUGGAGAAGAGAUAUGGAGGACAGGUGUGAGUAACCUAUUGAUGAGAAAUGUGGCAGUAUGAAAGGCUUUCCACCAUAAAUGGAGAGGUAAUUAUGCUUGUGCUAAUAAGGUGAGACCAUACUUAAAUACAUGUCGAGGUUUGUGCUCAACACGACCAUGUUGUUGGUGCACAUGGAGGCGAGGAUGACGAAAAUGAAUUCCAUGUUUGAGAAGAAUAGGAAGAAAAGGUAUGCACUCCCAACCUCAAUCAGAUUGAGAGGCUUCAAUAGACAACUUGGACUAUUUUUCAACAAUCACUUUGAAGAUAAGAAAGAUAUUAAGGGCAUUAGAUUUAGCUUUUAAAGGAUAAAUCCAGGUAAACCAAGUAUAUUCAUCAAUAAAAUAAAUAUAAUAGAAGAAACCAAUACUGGACUUGACAGGAAAAAGCCCUCACAUAUCAAUAUGAAUCAACUGAAAAGGUGUCAUUUUGGUUGGAGUUAGGAUUAAAAAAAAAACAUAAUUUUUUCCAAACUAAUAAGAAUCACAAAAACUUGGAGAUAAGUUUCCAUUAUACAAAAAAAAAAAAAAAAAAAAAGGCAUUACAAGACAUCAAAACAAACUUGAGUACAUGUAGAGAUGAGUUACCCAACCUUUGGUGUCAGACAUCAAGUUGAUUAUAUCUAACAAACUUUAAAAUUGGACAAUAUUAGAGCAACAACUCUAGUUGAGAAUCUCGUUUAUCAUUCUCAAACAAAACAUAUAAAGAUUGAUGUACACUUCAUAUGGGAGACGGUGGUUUAAAAAGAACUUAAAGCGAGGUCUGUACCCACUAUUGAUCAGAUGUUAAUGUGGUUACAAAAUCAAUUUUAUAAAAUAGAUUUGAAAUACUAAGUUCUAAGCUUACCAUGUGUGACUGACAAUUGCGCUUAUAGGGGGUGUUAAGAAUAAUUCUAGAAGCAUCUCUUAGCCUCACAUGUAAAGCACUAGCUGAUCACCAACUCAAGACAAAAACAGAUCCUUAUACGCUAAAUGCAGUUACAACAUAAAGAAUUUGAUUGUAUGUUCUCAUAUAUAAAUAUAUAUAUAUAUAUAUAUAUAUAUAAUGCAUUAUAGGCAUUUUUUUUCUCUUUGUUUUUCUCUACACUAUUAUUCUUUGUUUCUUUCUCAAAACAUGUCUUUGUUUUUUUGAAUUCAUUCAUGGUAUCAGAGCUCUUGUCCUUCACAAAGCAAUGAUUCUGGUGAAACUCAACAUAAACAUUAUUAUCUACAGUGAACUUGAAAAUGCUUAAAAGAUUUUUAGUAAUUUUUGGAGAAUGUAAAAUAUUUCAAAGAUGCAAGGUUUUGAGAAAAGAAAGUAAAGAAGAAUAACCAAUAUUUUGAAUGCAUAAACCUUGACCAUUGCCUAUAGUAACCUUGUCAUGACCAUGAUAAUCAAAUUUAAAGCUCAAGUUGUCUUGAUUACUAGUCACAUGGGUUGAUGCACCAUUAUCAAAGUACCAAGAUGGAUUUGUUACUAUAUUUGGAAGGGCAACCAUAACAACUAAGGAAUUACUUUAUGGAGACUGAAAAACUUAAUCAAAUUAGUAGUAACAGUUUAUAACAAUGUGUCCUUGUCAACCACAAACUUGAUAAGUUGGGUAAGAUCCGUUGCUUUUACCACGACCACCAUGCCCUCGACCAAAAUUCUAAAUACCAUGAAGAGUAUUACAACCCCCAGUAUGUGCCCUAUCAUUUCCAUGAAUAUUUCUAGAGCCACGACCACCCUUGUAAGUACCAACUACUGUAAAAUUGGUAAAGACAUUUUGGAGAUCAAUUUGUGUGCAAGAAUUCAACUACUCGAUCCAAGUUUCAUGAUUCUACAACAUUGUACAUACUUUUGGUAAAAUGAAAGUUAUGAUUGUGCUAUAACAUUAAUGACAACUACUAGAUCAUAUUAUGUUCCUACACCAACCAACCCAUUCAUUAUAAGAUCCUCAUCAGUAAGAGAUGUUCCAGAUGCUACUAGAUUAUUUGCAAUGGAUUUGAUUUUGCUAAUAUAAUCAGUUAUUAAGAUAAAGCCUUUUUUGGUUAUCUACAUUUGUAUUUUCAACUAAAGCAACCUUGCCUUGGAAGGUGAGGCAAAGAGAUGCUUCAAAGCUUCCUAGACUUGCUGAGAAGUGAUACAACCUACAAUUUGACCAACAACACCUUCUAACAUUAAGGCAAUCAUCCAGCCAAAGGAUCAACUGAUCAUAUCUUUGCUAGUAAAAAUACUUUGGAUUUAUCAUUUGAUUAAGGCCAAAGAAAUCACCUACAACACUAAUAAACUCAUCCAAGCAAGGUUCCAUUCCAAUAACAAAACCAUCAAUACCAUGAACUUUAAGUACAGGAAGGAUCUAUGACCUCCAAAUAAGGUAAUUACCUCUUUCCAACUUGAUUGAUAGAGUGAAGUUGAGAUUAGAAACAACGGAAAUAAGAUUAAUAAAGUAGAAAAACACCAUUUCUAGAUUUGUAGUUAUGGUUAGAGUUGCAAUAGUGGACAUGAUAGGAGUCAAUCACCAAGUCUCACAUUGCUCUGAUACCAUGAUUGAAUUAAAAAAUAAAUAAAUAAUAGAGAAGUGUUUUGAGAGAGAAACAAAGAGUAAAAAAAAUGCUUAGAAUUCAUCUUUUUUUUUUUUUUUUUUUACAUAUAUUUAUAUAUGAGAGCAUACAAACAAAUUCUUUUUGUUGUAAUUGCAUUUGGCUUAUAUGGAUCUACUCUUAUCUUCAGCUGGUGAGCUUUACAUGUGAGGCUAAGGGAUGCUUCUAGAAUUAUUCUCAACACUAACCAACAGCAUGCUAAAAUUGAUGAAUUGUAACAUUUGAACAUCAUCCAUUUUUAUUGAAAAAAAUGAAGUCCAAAAUUGAUUUCCCAAAAAAAUUAAAUUACACUACAUGGUUUUCGAUUUUUUGAACAUGCUGGAAAAUCAAUAAUACACUUCAUUUUUCUGGAAAAUCCAUGAAUUGAGGUAGGCCAGACCCCAAUUAGUCUACAAAAAACCUCCAUUUGGUUGCUAUGAAAACACAAGAAAAUAUAUUUUCAAAAACUGUACAGAAAAAAAAAAAAAAAAAAGGUUUUGAUAGAGAACCUUCUUCAAUGAAGCUUUUUUAGGUGUAGAGAGGUUUCAGGUGGAAUGAAUUAAGAGAGAUCUCCCAUGUAGUCUUCAUCCUCAUUAUCAUCAUCUUUUGUGGUUAUGUUAUUGAAUGAAAAUAGAGGAUGAAAGUUUCAAAAUGGGCUUGUGGAGUUUCUAUGGUGUGAUUAUCAAUGAGAUUGUGGGAAGCUUUCCUCAAUUGGCUUCGUAGGUGAACUCUUUUGUUUCUCCAAUUGAUUUUUGAUUGGUUACUAGUUUUUGUUUGUUUAAGAAGAAUUUUAUUCUAGGUAGAUUUUUAAUUUUAUUUAUUUUUUAUUUUGAAUUUUAUUUUUCAUUUAAGUGUGUCAUGUAGCCACACCUACAUACAAUUUAAAUAUAAAAUAAUAUAUGAUGUAACAGCUUAAAUAAGUAUUUUUGUCCCUUACUUUUUCAUAUCCUUUUAUCAAUUUCCCAUCAAUUGUGGGUAUUAUAUGGAUGUUGAGCCCAUUAUCAAGCCCAUAUGAAGUGAAAGCAUAAUUCUCCCUAAAGGAUUUAGCUUUUUUUUUUUUUUUUUUUUUGUGUGGGGGGAAUAGCAAUGACCGUGGCCAUUGCUCUACCGUGGAAUUCCAAUAAAGGCAGUCAGUUGUGCAUUUAUUCUUCAAACAACCCUCUUUUACAAUUUUUUGUUUUUUUUUUUAGAAUUUACUAAAAUUGUAAAAAAUUCACCCCACUUUUGAAAUAAAUAUUCAAAAUUCGGUCUUUAAUAUAAAUUUAAAAAUUGCAUCUCAAAAAUUGCGGCUUUAAUACAUAUUUAAAAAUCAUAUUAUAAAUUUGUAUUUGAUACCUUUUAAUCAAUUAAUUCUAAAAUUAACCAUCACAGGUGUAAUGUUAACAUGGGAAAGGAGGGCAAAUAUCUAAAAACAGAUCUAUAUCUGCAGAUGAUAGGUACUCUCAAGCGGUGGAUGGUGUGAACCAACUUAUGAAGCUGCUUCUUCUCAACCAUAGGUCGUUCAUGGCAGCCCCUCUGGGUUCAGUCAGGAGGGCUUUGUUGUCUACGUGUUCUGCCGUCAAAUGGGAAGGUGGCGUUUCCAUGGUUCAGGGAGCUUCCAGAGGAAUUGGCCUUGAGUUUGUGAGCAUUUACUCAUUUUCAUUUUAUGCCCUCCUUUACAUAAUAUUUUAUCACUGAUUUCUAUUUCUUUCUUCAGUUGUAUGAUAAUGUGGCAUUUUCAUUUGCAUAAUAUUGUGGAAAAAUGUGGUUUGUUUCCAGGACUUUCUUGAAGCAUGGUAUGCCUUAUUUGCCUAUGCUUGAUUGGUUGGAAUUGAAAUUUUGUGGCAUUGUUCAGUAAUUACUGAUGGUGUUUUUUUUUUUUUUUUUUUUUUUUUUUUUUUUUUUUUUUUUUUUUUUUUUUUUUUUUGUCUUGGGUGGGUGGGGACUGGGGAGGAAGUCUAAGAUGGUGAAUGAAUACUCCAUUUAGCUUUGCUUAGAGUUUGGGUUCUGGGCAUGAAAAUCUGUCUAUGUAGAGUGGUGUUAUUGUGUUAUCGAUGCACUCUUUUUCUUGAUUUCCUUUUUGAUAUAAACUUUCUAUGAACAUUCUCAUCCAAUCUGAAUACUUAAAUCAGGGAAGACAACCCUAUUUUGGUGAGUUCGAGUAGUCUUAGGUCCAAAAUUCCAGUCGAGUCUUGGGUCAAACUUGGAUAUGUUGGCUUCUUGUCUGACCUGGAACUGACCAAGCUCUGAAUUUCUCACCCUUAUUUCUUAUAUUUCUGAAGAAGUCUAAAAUCUUUUGCUUAUAUAAAUAUUCCUGAAAGUUUGGGGUGAAAAAUUCUCUUCAGAAAUACAGGUUUGGAAGUUGUUUGGUUUUAUUUUGAGGUUCUUGACUCAAGCUAAUUUGUGCUAAUUGCAUGUAAACUAAUAUAUUGUAUAUAAUACAGUCAUAUUAUUGUAAUAUUUAUAUUAUCAUAUAAAAUACAUUGAAAUUUUUGGCUGUAUUCAGUUUCAUUGAUUUUAAAUCAGGCCAGUUCUGGAGAUAGGUUGUUCUCUGAUCAGAGUUUGAGUCCAGACUGUGUCAAGAUUGAAUGCCAAAAUACUGGUUAUGAUUUUAAUAUGUUUGCCAUCAUAAAUGAACAGAUGGUUAUAUGAAUGGUUGAUUUUAUUUAUGCUUUUAGUAUGUUUGCCAUUUUACCAAUUUUUGGCAUUUCUCUAGACAUCAGUUUUCUGUAUAUUCAUUGAAUUUGGGAAACUGCUGAAUUGUGUAAUUCAAAUAUGCUGAAUUUUGGGAACCCUCUAUAUAAGGUGUAUGAUGACUGCUUGCUCAAUGGUGUCAUGCUGUAGUGAUUUUGCAAAUUCAACCACAAGUUCUCUAUUUGAUUAAUGGAGAAUGUACUAGCAUGAGUUGUUAAGGGUGCAAACCUGAAUGGUGCUCAAUUAAUUAGUGCUAUCUUAGUGGCUUUUCUGCUAACUCACUAGAAAGCUCCUACUACAGUUUUUGCCUUCCACAGGUUAUAUUUGGUAGAGGUUGCAGUUCUGGAAACUUUAUGUCCAUUUGGGAUUUGAAAUUUUGUAUCACUGUUAAUGUUGCAUAAUUUUUCAAGAAUAUCUCGUUACCUUCUCUUGUUUACACUUGAGUACCUAGACCUUUAUCAUAUUUUUUCCUGUCAUACUCGUGAGUUUCUUGCCUUCCUAACUGAUGGAAACCAGCUAUAUGUUUGGCUCCCUAAUAAGAAUUCAGUUUAUUAGUUAACAAUAUCCCAGUAAAGGUUUUUAUUUGGUUAUUUUUAUUUGUUAUUUUACCUUUUAUUUCUCAUUGUGCAUUUGUAACUUGUUUUGUGCUAUUUGUAGGUUAAGCAACUCCUGGAGAAAAAUGAGAAAGGGCAUGUUAUUGCCACUUGUCGUAAUCCUGAUGGGGCAACUGCACUUCUUGAUUUAAAAAAUGAGUUUGCUGAACGGCUUAACAUCCUGCAGUUGGAUCUCACCAUUGAAAGCACCAUAGAGGUUAUAUUGAUCUCUCCCUUUUAUCCAGCUAAAACUAAAUUCAACUUAGUAGUCUUUUACCUUGUCAAGAAAACCUUGAUUGGAUUACUGAGGCUACGAAUUCAUUUCUACAUAUUGUUGUGGUUUUCACUUUCUUAAUCCAUGGAUGUCUCAUAGAAAGUUCACAGGCCCUUUUAGCAGCUGAAACGAUGGAGGAUAAUAAUAGAAAACUAGGAGUCUUAUUGCCAUUUAAGAUUUAAAGCUUUUGAGACUACAAAUUUCCAGUUAUUUUUCUUAGUCCUCUUGGGAAUGAAGAGCUUUAAUUUUUGUAUGCUAUAAAUUCAGUUCCUAUUUAUUAACAAAACAUGGUAGUUUUUGACUGCUUCUUAUGGUCUAUUCUCAGCCCUUUGAUAUACCUUCAUAUUUCAGGCAUCAGCAAAUUCUAUAAGAGAGAGAUACGGAUCUCUGAACCUUCUUAUCAAUGCAUCUGGCAUUCUUUCAAUACCUAAUAUUUUGCAACCAGGUAUUCUCAUUGUAUCGUUGCUUAUGCAUAGAUUUUGAACUUAGUAAUGGGCUUCAAUAACAGCCUAUAGUUAUCGAAAGUACAAGGUUCACCAGUAUGGAAGAAUACAAAUUCCAAACAUCCAAAGCAUUCAAGCAUUAGUAAAACAAGAAACAUCUAAUCCUAGAGUCCUAGACACUUUGUUCAACUGUCAUCUUCAUACAGAAAAUCAUCAUUUGUCUUUCCCAUUAUAGGAUUUAUAGCCCUCAUCAUCGUCCUUGUCCUUUCAUCUGAAUCACUUCCUUAUGAUCUAGAUUUAGUGUUGAGGAAGGGGACUGAGAGGUUGUAGCCUUUUCCCAAUGUUGCCCUCAUGGAGCUUAUCUGAUUUGCAUAUCAAAUCUGGCACCCCUGACUUUCAUACUUUUAACCAAUCAUUCGUUGCUUUCACAUAUAUCUUUCAAGGAGACAGAGCAGAUGAUUCUGUGCAUAUUAUAUUGUCUCCCCUGAGGCUUGGUUGUGCUUGAUGGAUGCCAAAUCAAUCAGAAUGACCAUGCAGUAGCAAGUUUCUUCUUUUUCCAUCUCUAUCCCAUGGAAGACUGCUGGUGUUUUUUUAUCUUUCUUCAUCUAGUAGCCAUGUCAAUUCCAAAGAGGUCUUGAGGUGUCAACUCUUCUAUAAUUAUGCCUUGCCUGAAAAUUAGCCAUGUCAAAACCAAUCAUUCAUUGAUCAGUUUUUGAAUGUCCAACAUCAAAGCUGAGCUAUGAGCACACAUGUGAUCCUAGAGAAACACAUGUAGUCCAGUAUAAAUGUAAGGAAUUGGCCUCUUCCAAGGCAAGAUGCAUGGCACGUGGGCUUGCAUUUUCUAUCAAUGUAUAAUCUAAUGCUGAACUAAAAGCUACCUGUUCAAUUAAUAGGGUUUUUUUUUUUUUUUUUUUUUUUUUUUUUUUUUUUUUUUUUUAUUGUAAGUGAAUUUGUUUUCUCU
Molecule: long non-coding RNA, 83502 nt
Filed under: Vitis vinifera (wine grape)
Lineage: Eukaryota; Viridiplantae; Streptophyta; Magnoliopsida; Vitales; Vitaceae
Description: long non-coding RNA (VVIN_LNC003233)
Source: RNAcentral